This 55280-nucleotide long non-coding RNA is filed under the name Brassica napus (rape). Its description in RNAcentral is "long non-coding RNA (BNAP_LNC004745)". Lineage: Eukaryota; Viridiplantae; Streptophyta; Magnoliopsida; Brassicales; Brassicaceae. The record is from RNAcentral.
AACAAAAGCAUCACGAUCGUCAAAACCGAUAAGCAGAUCAUGACCGUCCGAUCAUCGAUCUGGUGACGGAAGACCACGAGAGGCUCGUCGCGGAGGAAGUAGAGGAAGAUCCAGAAGACGACCAGGACGGCCAAGACGAGGAGCGAGGUUGGGUGGUAGACGAGGCUCAGGAAGAGGACGAGGAGGACGACGACGGCGUAGUUGGCUCGGAAGUAGACGAGGUUCGUCUUGAUCCUCGAGAUCGCGUCGAAGAAGCCGUGUGGGAGGUUCGUGGAUUGGAGAUCGAACAUCGUUUUCCAUGGGCGGCGCGUGGCGAGACCUGAUUUGAUGCGGUGUUUUGCGCGUGAGAUGUACUCGAGAUCAAUCGGCGGAGAUGGAUGAGAGGACGUCGGGAUCGCGCCGUAGUUCAUUUCGUUUCACGCGGCGUGUGGAGAGAGAGAGAGAGAGGGUUGAAGAGCUACGGAAUGAGAUUUGUUUGUUUUAUCAAUAAAUAAAUAAUACAUUUAUGUAUUUUCUGGAAAAAGAAAAUUAAUGUGUUUUUGCGGCUAGUAGUCCCUAUGUAUUAGGUAAUAGUUCGUAUGUACAUAUAUUAAACAUGUACUAUAUAAAAAUAUUUAAAAUUCUUGUUUUUUAAAGAAAUAUUACUCCCCUGCGUGCUCCCUAAUUUUUUUUCACUUUCUUCCCUAAAUGGCUAGUUUCGGUCCAGCCGCACGCGUUACGCCUAGCGAAUUUUCAAACAUGGAGUAAUACCGUAAUAGUGCAGGCAUCAUACGGAUAAAAAUAAUAAAGUAGAUAACAUACCAAAUAAAUACAUAAUUUCUAUAUGUUACUGUUAAAUACUCCUGCACAGUAAUAUCAUAAUCUAUAUAUUAUUUGAAAAUAUUAUAUUAUUGUGAUGUUUUUGUUAACACUAAUAUAUCUAUUACAAAUUUUGAAACUAUUACAAAAAAUAUAAUCAAUAAAUUUAUUUGUCUUACAACAUUUGCGUAUAACAGUUUUAUUUGUCCCAUUUAAAAAGAACAAACUAUUUGUAUCAUAAUCCUAUUUUUUCACUAAGCAGAAAAUGUUAUGUAUUUUUUAUUAAUUUAUAAACAAUAAUAAAAAUAUUUUUACAUAUCUAAAACUCCAAGUUUCUUAUAUAAAAUGAUAUAAUGAAAUAUUAAUCAAACAGAGCUUUUAGCACUAUAUAUUUUGGUGAUAUUAAUUUUUUUUUUUUUUGAAUGAAUUAAUUUUCAACUAAAAACUAUAAUUGCUAAACAAUCUGUGACGCUCGCCUUUUUCUGUUCAACUGACAACCGGUAUCAUAUUCUAUUUCAUACUUGUAUAAUCUGGGAUUAAAUUCCAUAAGAAUAUUAAUCCAGUCCUUAGUAUAAUUUGAGAUUUGUUUGAUGGUUUUUCCUCAUUCCGAAGUAUACAAAAUCACUAGCCAUCCUUUUACAACAUAAACCAAAUAAAAUCAUCAGUUAUUUUCUGAAGUUGCACAAACACAAAGAUUAUAAGAACUUCUCUUCUUAUUAGAUUUAGAAACUCUCUCAAAACUAAAUCUUUCGAUGUGUUUCUGUUGAUAGAACAUCUCUCCAUGAGAACUCUUUAUAUAGGAAGAAGCUACAUCUUUUCCUAAAGGCGAAGCUACAUAUUUUCCUAAUAAUAAUAUGGAAACAUUACUAAGCUCGAUAUGUUUUCUUUUUUCUUUAACCCAUCAAACUUCACUUUAAUGAGUUAACUUGCUCCUCUGAAGCUUCCGUCGCCGCCGCAGCUUCCUCAUCAAGAUACAAAUUAUCACUCCUCCUAACCGCCGCGUGUACCAAAACCAACACCACAGCCGUCGCCACCGCCCCGAGAACAUUCGCCGUCGCGUGCGUGAACAAAAGCAUCACGAUCGUCAAAACCGAUAAGCAGAUCAUGACCGUCCGAUCAUCGAUCUGGUGACGGAAGACCACGAGAGGCUCGUCGCGGAGGAAGUAGAGGAAGAUCCAGAAGACGACCAGGACGGCCAAGACGAGGAGCGAGGUCGGGUGGUAGACGAGGCUCAGGAAGAGGACGAGGAGGACGACGACGGCGUAGUUGGCUCGGAAGUAGACGAGGUUCGUCUUGAUCCUCGAGAUCGCGUCGAAGAAGCCGUGUGGGAGGUUCGUGGAUUGGAGAUCGAACAUCGUUUUCCAUGGGCGGCGCGUGGCGAGACCUGAUUUGAUGCGGUGUUUUGCGCGUGAGAUGUACUCGAGAUCGAUGGGGGGAGAUGGGUGAGACGACGUCGGGAUCGAGCCGUAGUUCGUCAUUUCGUUUCACGCGGCGUUGGGGGGAGAGAGAGAGAGAGAGAGAGAGAGGUUGAAGAGAUUUGUUUGUUUUUAUCAAUAAAUAAAUAAUACAUUUAUGUAUUUUCUGGAAAAAGAAAAUUAAUGUGUUUUUGCGGCUCAGUCCCUAACAAUUGGGUUUGUUUUCUAUUCUAUACAUGAUAAAUCUAGUUGGGUCAAACCCGCUAGUAAACCUACUUAGUGCAUGCAUCAUAUAGACAAAAAUAAUAAAGUAGAUAACAUACCAAAUGUCGACAAAAUACCAAAUAAAUACAUAAUUUCUAUAUUUUACUGUUAUAUACUCCUGCACAGUAAUAUAUAGAAUAAAAAAUUCUGUAAAAUAUUUGAAAAUAUUAUAUCAUUCUGAUGUUUUUGUUAACACUAAUAUAUCUAUUACAAAUUAUGAAAUUAUUAAAAAAAAAUAUAAUCAAUAAAUUUAUUUGUCUUAAAACAUUUAUGUAUAACAGUUUUAUUUGUCUCAUAUAUUUUAAAAAGAAAAAAAACAUUUGUAUCAUAAUCCUAUUUUUCACUAAGCAGAAAAUGUUAUGUAUUUUUUGUUAAUUUAUAAACUAUAAUAAAAGUAUUUUUACAUAUCUAAAACUCCAAGUUUCUUAUAUAAAAUUAUAUAAUGAAUUAUUAAUCAAACAGAGCUUUCAUGAGUUUUAGCACUAUAUAUUUUGGUAAUAUAUUUUUUUUUUGAAUUAAUUAAUUUUCAACUAAAAACUAUAAUUAUUAAUCUAUCUGUAACACUCGCUUUUUUUAUGUUCAACUGACAACCGGUAUCAUAUUCUAUUUCAUACUUGUAUAAUCUGGGAUUAAAUUCCAUAAAAAUAUUAAUUCAGUCCUUGUAUAAUUUGAGAUUUGUUUGAUGGUUUUCUCCAUUCCGAAGUAUACAAAAUCACCAGCCAUCCUUUUACAACAUAAACCAAAUAAAAUCAUCAGUCAUUUUCAAUAUUCAGUUACUCUCAGUUAAAAGGAUUUUAGUGUUUAUUUUGAGUUUUGACAUGUAUGGAUUAGUGUCUUUGGACAUAGUUAAAAAGGAUUAUUUUGUCAUCAUCAGCCACAGAACGUCGUAUUAAAUUGGGUCCCAAAGUGCUAUUUGCUGCAGCUUCUUAAUGCUACUGUGUUAGACGUGGCUUAUGGCUUAUCCCACAUGAAAUUUACCAAGACCACCAUACAUUUUCUUAGUAUCUCCCCCUUUAUCCCAAAACUUAUAUUUCGAUACACUUCAAUAGUUUGCUUUUACAACUCGUAGUGAUAAACCAAAGCCGAAUGCUUGAUUUGUAUUCCAAGACACUUCAACCUUUAAAUUAAUACACAUAUAAAAUAUGUUGUUGAAUGUUUUCUUUAAGAUUGUCCUUGGAGAAUCCUCCAAGUUUAACCAAAAGCCAAAAGCAUAUAUAUAAUAAACCAGGCACAUCCUUGUGCAUUAUGUAACUGACCCAGCUUCAGCACACAUAAUCGCAGAAACGUUUCUCUCAUACACUUAUAGAUCCAUUUUCGUACAAAUGGAGCUUGAGGAACAGAAGAAGUUCUUCCAUGGAACACUCGAGAUUACAAUCUUCGACGCAACCCCUUUCUCUCCUACAUUUCCUUUCAAUGUACGUAUUAUGUUGUUAAAGAUGAAGAUAACAUUUUGUUAAUUCUCAUGAGCUGCUUGUUAUCUUAUUCGCAGUGUAUAUGUACGAAGCCAAGACCAGCUUACGUGACCGUUAAGCUAAACAAGAAGAAAGUUGCUAAGACAAGCUCAGAACAUGACCGUGUCUGGAACCAAACUUUUCAGAUCCUCUGCGCACAUCCGGUUUCAGACACGACGAUCACAAUCACGCUCAAGACUCACUGUUCUGUUCUCGGAAGAUUCCGAAUCUCUGCAGAACAGAUUCUCACUUCUAAUACAGCAAUUGUCAACGGGUGCUUUCCUCUGACUACAAAUAACGGAUCAACGAAACCUAACUUGAAGCUCAAGUGUAUGAUUUGGUUCAGACCGGCUUAUCUAGAACCGGGAUGGUGCAAAACGCUCGAAGGAGAGCCUUUUCAAGGUAUUAAGAACGCGAGCUUCCCUCAGAGAUCGAACUGCAGAGUUGUAUUGUACCAAGACGCGCACCAUAAAGCCACGUUUGAUCCUAGGGUUCAUGAUGUUCCUUGUAAUGCAAGAAACCUAUGGGAAGAUGUUUAUAAAGCGAUUGAUUGCGCUAGGCACUUAGUUUACAUCGCAGGAUGGGCAUUAAACCCUAAUCUCGUUCUCGUACGGGACGAUGAAACAGAGAUUCCACACGCAGUGGGAGUAACAAUCGGUGAGCUUCUGAAACGCAAAGCACAUGAAGGCGUAGCGGUGAGAGUAAUGCUGUGGAACGACGAGUCGUCUCUACCGAUGAUCAAGAACAGAGGUGUAAUGCGAACAAACGACCAAACAGCUCUUGCUUACUUCAGAGACACAAGUGUUGUUUGUAGACUCUGUCCAAGAUCGCACAAGAAGCUCCCCACGGCUUUCGCACAUCACCAAAAGACCAUCACGGUGGACACACGUGUAACGAAUACAAAUACAAAAGAGCGAGAGAUCAUGAGCUUCCUCGGCGGUUUCGACCUCUGCGAUGGUCGUUACGACACAGAGGAGCAUUCUCUGUUCCGUACAAUCGGGACAAGUGAUGAUUUCUAUCAAACAAGCCUCGCUGGAGCUAAGCUAAGCAGAGGAGGACCAAGAGAGCCGUGGCACGAUUGCCACGUGUGUGUGGUCGGGCCUGCAGCUUGGGAUGUUUUGAAGAACUUCGAACAAAGAUGGACCAAACAGUGUAACCCUUCUGUUUUGGUCAACACCUCAGGGAUAAGAAACUUAGUAAGCAGUGCAAACACUGAAGAAGAUGACAGGAACUGGAACGUUCAAGUCCUGAGAUCGAUAGACCACGUGUCGGCUACGGAGAUGCCUAGAGGCUUACAGGUUGAGAGGAGCGUACACGACGGCUACGUCGCAGCGAUUCGGAAAGCAGAGAGGUUUAUAUACAUUGAGAAUCAGUAUUUCAUGGGAGGCUGCGAGCAUUGGGAGGGGAAGAACGGAAGCGGAUGCACAAACUUGAUACCCGUUGAAAUAGCUUUAAAGAUUGCGGCUAAGAGAGAGGGAGAGGUUUGCUGUGUAUAUAGUGAUACCAAUGUGGCCUGAAGGGCCACCGGAGAGCGAAACGGUCGAAGAGAUGCUUCAUUGGACGAGAGAGACAAUGUCUAUGAUGUAUAAAAUCAUUGGAGAGGCGAUAUGGGAAACUGGAGACGGGUCGCAUCCGAGAGAUUACUUAAACUUCUUCUGUCUCGCAAACAGAGAAGAGAAGAGAGAAGGAGAGUAUGAAGCAGUUUCGUCACCGCAUCCCAAAACACAGUACUGGAACGCACAGAGGAACCGGAGAUUCAUGGUCUAUGUCCACUCCAAGAUCAUGAUAGGUUUGGUUUAAACCCCUAACCUGAAACAAAACUGAAGAUUGUUUACUUAUUAUUGUCUCUAUGUGUGUUUGUAGUGGACGACGCAUACGUUUUAAUAGGAUCAGCCAACAUAAAUCAGAGAUCAAUGGACGGUUGCCGUGACACAGAGAUUGCAAUAGGUUGCUACCAAAGAAAUACAACCAAGACCAAUGAGAUUCGAGCUUACCGAUUGUCGCUCUGGUACGAGCAUACAGGUGGCCAGAUCACAGUGGAUGAGUUAUCUUUCUCGGAGCCAGAGAGUCUUGAAUGCGUCCGAGGAUUAAGAACAAUGGGGGAGCAGAUGUGGGAUAUUUACAGUGGAGAAAAGGUCGUGGACAUGAACGGUGUACACUUGGUUGCGUACCCCAUUAGUGUGACGAGAGAUGGUGUGGUUGAGGAAAUCGGCGACGGAGUUUUUCCUGAUACCAAGACGUUGGUGCGAGGGAAAAGAUCCAAGAUGUUGCCUCCGGUUCUAACAACAUGAAAGAAAAUGUCAGAAUCAGAAUCAUGACUUGCAAUGUUAUAUGUAUUAAGUAACUUUCAACUUGUUGAUUAUGAUAUUAAAACGCAUUUAGAUGUUGACUAUGUAAAGAUGAUUGUAACACACUUACUGGUUUCUAUAAUGACCAUUUUGGUUCCUUUUUCGAUUCCAACUAGUAGAUGAUUGGCCUCGAAGUCUGUCCUUUUCAAGCUUUGUUUCCUGCAACGAAGAGAAGAAUAAUUAAAACCUGUAAAGACCACAACAGAGCAGUUUUUUAAUAGUGAAAAUCUCAUGCAAUGCCUACAAAUGCUACAUGACACGAAAGAGCGAAUAUAUCUACACAUAUGUGUCUAAGAGGUGAAACGGGUAUGGAGCUUGAAGGACAAUUCUUUUCGUGUCAACGCUCAUCAAAUGCCUGAGUACAACUAUCCCUUCCCGUACCGUGUAUUGUUCCAAGAAGAUUAAUUAUUGGAAGCUUUGAAGCUUUGCAGUGCUGUACCAAUCAUCUUGCAGAUUCAGAGUAACCACUCUAAUCUACCUUAACAUGCUGAUCUGUAGAGAAUACAGUUCCACUAGAGUUCCAUCUGUAGUCGAUAAGGACACAAGAGGGAGAACUUUUCUGAAGAUGUAGGUCGUUUUCAUCAAUUCCCAGCUGUGUUUUAAAAAUGAGAGAUGGUAGAGCCUCCAUGGUGCACUAAGGAGCGCGCCUUAUGGAUCAAUGUUUCCUGAAAAGAAAUCCUUCUUAGAUGACCCCGCACAAGCACUCCUGCUUUUAGCACGUCUGCUUUUGGUGGAAACCCGUUCAGACAACUUGUUCCUAUGAAGAAAGUCCCUUCUUGUUCGACUCUGUCCCAAGCACCUGCUGCACACGAUUACUCCUCUUCCAACAGCUUCUCCCGCUUUGAUUCAUUCAACAGACUCGAUAUGCAGAACAUGUGAGCCUAACCCAUUCACAUCCAGAUUUGAUUCUUUCAACUAUCAAAGAUAUGAUUCUUCAAUGCACAAAGCUAGCACCAACAACGCACCCAAGACACCUAAAGCGUCAUUGACGAGAUUCAACUCAAAUGGAGACACCAGAAACUUCAAGGCGCACCUUCGCCGCGCUUAAGGCGCCUUAGAACACCAUGGCGUCUGGGUCUGCGCCUUGCGCGAAGAAAGAGCGCUCUUCUUAAAACAGAGUUUCUCAGUCUUCGGAAAAGAAGUAGACAAAGUUACAUCCUGGUCAAACCUACACCGAUCUACUUUCAGAUCAAUAUAAACCCUCAACGCUUGAAAUUAAAGCAGUAGCUGUCAGCUCCGGGCUUAAGUGAGCUGAUCCUAUGUUUUACUCAUCUACAAAAGCUUUGCCUUUAUUCUUAUCUAUAGAUCUCUCGCAGGCUCCAGAAACUUCACAUGGCAUAGAUAAUCCUGUCCAGUCAAUUCUAAAGAACUUUUCUUCCACGCAACAGCACAAAACAAUGUAGUGAGCCAUCUUCAAGCACAGCUACUUCUCCAUCAGUCCAGCAAUUCAUUUCUAUCAACAAUCUACUGUGAAAUCUAGGAGAGUCUCACAAAUCCUCUAGAAAAAAAUGACUGAUUCAACCUCCAUUGUCACAGCACCAAAGAGAAUCCAAGAUUUAUGUGGCAAAAAUAAUAUUGCGGACACAGAGAAACAAAAAUGAAUCGGUUAUAUGCAAAAAAUUAAAGACUUAUAUGAGGACCUAUAUGCCAAACAAAACAUAGCUAACCUCUAGAAGAUAUAACCAGAAAUUACAUAAAUAAACUUUCUCGUAAGCGAAGUUUUCUUGGGAAGAUCGAAUACCUGACUCGUUGGAAGAUCUUUUUUUUUUUGUAAGGCACAUCAACAUCCUUGGAAAGAAAAAACUGAUGUACCAUCAACAUGACCUACAAGGCCACUGACGAUCCCUUGAAAUAUGGAAAAGUUCAUCUCUGAAGGCAAAAUAACUGAUAGGAGCAGAAGGUACGUUGAAGCUUGUGCCGCCUCGAAGACAGAGAUGUUUAUCUCUUCAGGCAACUACUAGGAACCAAACAUAGCAGCUAAUUAUAGAAUGCAUCACCGUAUUUUGCCACACAGCACAUGAACGAAGAUUUUCUCUCUUGCUCGUCGUGAAAGCUCCAGAAAUAAGAAAUAAACUUCUGCAUCAGAAUGGCUUCAUCAACGCUGUCCUAACAGAGUCGUUAUCAGCUGUCUGCCCACCUUCAAUAUUUCCAGAAAGCUCAGAUCUAGACAGAUAAUUACAGACUCAUGGUAACUUGAAGGCCCGCUCAUCAGCAAAUGCAGGAGUCCCCAUGAAGGCCUCUGAUUAAGGAACUCGAUGAAACGUCGCUUUGAUAUGUCCAUCUGUCAUCCAUGAGUUAUAAUCUUCACCCAGCCUCCUAACUUCUGAACUCAUUUUAUGUUGUUCGGAAUGAUAUUCAAUCUAUGACAUUGAGAUUCUGGCACCCAUCAGAAAAUGCUGUGCAUCAGCUCCAAAUCACCUUUCUUCCAUUGGCUAGCACCGUGAAAUAUUAUUGCUCAACGGAACCGAUACAAUCUCAAGAUCUCAAACAAGACCUUGAGCCUUCAAAUCCGGAGAACAACCUCUCUGAACUUGCUUUCAGAUGCAGAGACACUCCUCUGAUUUGCCUAACAAUUCUCUAUGAUCUUCUGAUACCCCUCAACAACUCUCGUAGAUCUUUAUUUAUACUCUCCAAGUUCAGUAACCGCCAAGCGUCUUUAUGAAUCAACAACUUCACUUCCUUGCCAACACCGCAACCAUCAGCCACAUCAGCACUAGCAUUCAGUAUCUAUCAUUAUCAUGACUCGAAGGCCAUAGAGGACCAAUGUCUCUGUUCCUCCCAUAUGUUGUGCCUUCCAAUGGUUCCAGUUUCCACUUCACCUUAACUGAGAUUCUCUUGUAUACCUUAAAUUUACUAGAACAUUACAUAACACCACCACAUAAAAGCAAUGACCCGUGGAAAAUCUCUCUCUUUCAGCUUCCAUAAACAAGCAAUUGCAACUCGACAGUUUCCCAAAAAAUGUGGCCGAAAUCAACUACAUUCUCUCAAAUAUCUCCUUAGGCCAAGUAUUUAAAGCCUUUAACCCCUUAGAAAGGGGUUAGGUUAGCUCACCAGAUCUUUAUAAAUAAGAAUACAACAGAAGAAAGGAGUGUGGGAUUGAAGCACGAAGAGAGUAAUGUCAUACAAAUACAACAAGGGCAUCCUCCUCUGAGGUUUCUAUCAGAGGGAUUAUCAUUUACAAAACAAUCAAAGCCAGAGAGUAAACGAGGCGAGCAGAAAAAUAAGAGGGAUAAGAGGACAUAGCUAUUAUCAAACAGGAAAAACCAAAUCAUUGAAUUAUAGAAACAUACGACAUAGUUUAGCCAUCUAACUUACAUAAUUAAAAUGCCUUAUUGAGAGAUCAGAAGAACUAACGUUUUGAUUUAGAGUAGAUAUGCAUAACCAUAAAAAGCCACAGGAGUGUUUCAAAGUGCCCAAUUUAGACUCACCUCAUUCUCUUUUCCCAGGAUGGUUGAUACGAUUCAGUGACGAUCCAAGCGAGGUUUCUUCUGCGAGCCAGACCCAUGGCUGUAAUAUUGACUCCUUUCCGAAGAUCCCUAAGAAACAAGCAAAAUAAUAUGACGUGUCAAAGUACAAAUUCACACUUAAAAAAAAAAAAUCACAUGAUACAAGGAUACAAGCACACGUACCAGAAAACCAUCGGUUUCUCCAUAAGAACCACGGUAAGCGCCAUCCAUAGUGCCGAGAUUCAUCCCAUAUGAUCCACCUGGACACAUAACAUAUCACACCAAAUCAGUUAGCGACUCUAAUGAAACACCAGGACAGAUCUAGAUUAGGAGAGUCAUAAUACCAAAACCCCACGGCCUACUAUCAACAGUAGCAAGCUCUGCUCGUAGCUUUUCAACUUCACGCGCCAUAGAAACCAUGUUCUUUUCCAUUAUCUGCCUCUGUUCAAUAAGCUCAAACUUUUCCUUCUUCUCAUAGUCAAUAGCACCUCUGUUCCAACAGAAAAACAAUUCCUUUUUAGCAUUUAAAAAGCGAAACCAUAUGUCACUUAGUAACAAAAGGUUCAAUCUUUCUACCUAGCGUGCAUAAGCUCCUUCUGCAUGUCCUCAACCUCAGCUCUCAAACCCGGAAUCUGCUUGUUAUCCGACUGCAACUUCACCAAAUCCUUCCUAAGUAUCUGAACGUCUCCACUUAGUUCACGCUUUAUCUCACUCAGCUUCUGAACUUCGCCGCGCAGCUGAGAAGCCUCCUUCUUGUAAGACUCCAUAGCACGAAUAUCACCCUCAAGUUUAUGCCUUUUCUCACUGAACUCCCUCGACUGCAGAUCCUGCUCAGCACGGAGAUCAGAGAUUAUCAGGUUCAGACGGUGAAGCUCUUCCUUAGCUGCACCGAGCUCUCUCUCCAGAAGCACACGGUCGUCAGCUAGUCUGUGGUUAUCACUCAAAAGCCUCCGGAUUUCAGCUUCUUGCAUCUGAAGAUCUUCUAAGAGUGAAGAAGGUGGAGGAGGGGCGCGAAGGAAUGGUCUCUCGGGAGUAAAACGACGUCGAUCAUGGUAAGGGUCUUGAACCUCUCGGUGAUAACGGUCUCUUCCAGACAUUUCUGAAAAGACAAAAGACACACACCUCAACACUAUCAUUAUAAUAGCAGAGAAAGCAGCUAACUUCACAAUUACCCAACUCUCAAAAUCUACAAAACGACGUCACUUUCUCGCUGUAACAAACCAGAAUCAUCAAUGUAAGUUUGGGAUCAACGAGAAAAGAUGCGUUUCUCCAUACGUAAGAAAUAAAUUAGGGAUUUUCAAGAUCAACGGAAUCAAAAUCAAGCUAAACCUCAAUAGAAUCAAUUUCGAAAUUGGAUUGAUCGGAGCAGCUUGACGAUUAACGUACUUAAUAUUAGCAGAUUAUUAGCAGAUUAAUUUUGGUUAUUUAAGAUGCAAAGAUGAUAAUCUAUAGAUUGAUAUAGUGAAAAAAAACAGUCGGAAGAGAAAGAAAAGAGCGGAAACCUCUUCUGCUGCAGAGCGGAGAUCGUCUUCAAUUCAACCUAUUGUUUCUAUCGGCUUUGCUUUUGAAGUCUCUCUCUAUUGGAACGGAGAACUUUUGUACGUGGCUAAGGUAGAGACGAUGUCGUUUUGAUAGUCUUCUGUUAAUAUUUACUGGGCCUUUAAUGGGCGUUUUGUUUCUAACAGAAGACUAUUGGUUAGAAAAAACAAAACCUUAUUUCUAUCCUUUUAUUAGUGAAAUUUUUCCUUAUAAUUAUUUUUUCUUACAUGUGAUAUUUUUCCAAUUUAUUCUAAGAACAAUAGUUAUUUUAAUAUAAUUCAUUUUAAUAUGGUUUAAAGUUUUUUUAACACUUGUUAAAAAUAAUUGUUUUUUUUGUUUGUCUUUAACUAAUUUGUUAUUUUGUUUAAUUUAGUUAACUAAUACAUUUAUAAAAUAAAGGUAAAACCAUAAAAUUGUCAAUGUUCUAAAAAUGUAAAAUGAAAUAUAUGAUAAGAAAAUUAAAGCAAAAAUAAUUAACAUCGAUGAAACAGAAUAGAUAAUAUUAUUUAACCUAAAUGAGUAAAUUGUUUCAUCUCUGCGUAAGAAUAAUACACAAGACACAAAAUUCCCAAAUUUUGUAUUGAGUUCUCAAAGUUUGAAAAAUACAAAUUUACAAAAAGAAAAAAAUGAAAAUUAUUUAUUUAAUAUUUCCCCCGUAAAAAUGUGAAAUAUACUUCACUAAAGAAUCAAUACUGAUUAAGUGAGUGUGAAUCUUCACAUUCGCUGAAAGGUGACACUCUCUCGCCAUUGAUUUGGGCAGACUUUAAGCUCCAAGCAUUUAGGCCCAAGACAUCAACACUUUGAGUUCCCUUGUUGAAGACAAAGAGAUUUGUAUUUUCUCCUAUUGCCAAUUUUGGAUACACUCGAGAAGUUAUACAUACUUUGCCUCCUCCACCAUAACUCUCCACUAUAGAGUGGUCAAUCUACAAAGUAAUAGUCAAAAAUAACACUCAUCAUUUCCCUACUAUGAUGCUCUAUUGAAGCAUACUCACUAGAUAGUUGGUACAAGACAUCUGUCUGAGAUCAUAUCUUUACGUAUAAUUAUAACUUACCAAAGUCCUAAGAGAAAGUGUUUCUUGAGAAGGGUCUAUUGCUACAAAAGCACCAAACGUUGCUUUAUCAUUUUCUUCAUUCAACGAAGAUCUGUAUACGAGUGCCAUAACAACAAAGUUAGCAGUUCAUGUAAAUACGAAAAGAAUCUGAAUGUGUCUUUGAGUUGGUGUAUAAAGAUCACAUACCUGCUUUGGUCACUGCACAUCAAGACUACGUACUUAGUAUCAUUUGACUUGAAGAUUCUGAAGUAAACUGAUGUGUAUUCCUCCAUGUCAUUUGAUGUCAACACCAUCAAACCAAAUGGCCCUAAACCGGACUUAACCGAUAAAUCUUCCUCACUACAUAUCUUUUGAGGGUCAGUCCAACUUGGUUCAAUCACAUCCGCUUUUUCCAAAUCUUUCACUUUGAAUGAUACAUCAACAUCAGCCUGCUCAAUACCAAAGAUAGAUUCUUAUUUCACGCGGAUCAAUCAUUAAUCUGAUCGAGGUUAAGUAUCGACUCUUACCUGUGCAGCAGUAACACCAUGAACUUGGAUAGUAGACCCUGCCUUAAGAACCUUGUUGUCCCAUUUGACUUGUGUCUCACGCAAGGUCUCAAUCUCUUCAAUCGGCCAUUGUAGCAGCUCAUUUCCCGAUUCACCAAGCCAUAUUUUUCUUGGAAAUGACUGUUAAAAUAACAAAAAUCAACUAUUAAUCGAGAUAAACUUCCAAUUGGCGAUUAGUGGACUAGUCCGUAUGCAUAUAACUUAAGAUUUAUUCAAAUGCGACUUUGUUCCUAAUGUAAACAGGUUUACUAGAUUUAACUCAAGAAUUAAUCAAGGGGAAAAUAAAUGUUACCUGAAGACCAGACCAACCCUUCUCAAUAUCAUCCUUAGCAGGUGAAGACUCGUUAACCCAACCCCACAAGAUCCUUCGUUUCUUAACAUCAUCGUAAAACGUUUUCGACGCGUAAAACUUCCCGUAGUCCAACCUCGGAGCCGAACCAUCUUGCACAAACCCAUGAUCCGGUACGUAAACAUCCUUCUCACGGUCGUAACUCCCAAUCGUGUAAUAAUCAUGCAACGUCUCGAUCAAACUAACUUUCAGCACGUGUUUCACCUCACCAAACGACGACGUUUCGAGACAGUCCGUUCCGGUUAUCGAAACCGGGAAAAAAUCAGGACACUCCCACAUUCCGGUUAAGUCUUCGUGGUGAAGAGGCUUCGUCGCUUGCGUCCAGUUGAAGAAAUCUCUGCUCUUGUAAAGAACCGCUAAUCCUCGACGAUCGUCCGUCGAGCUUCCGACGAUGACUCUCCAUUCUCCGUCGUGUCCCAUCCACGCCGUGGUCGGAUCUCGGAACCGGUCGGGGUUGAUUCCGUUGACGGCGUUAGGAGCCAUCAGAGGAUUUGCCGGCGACUUCGACCAUUCUCGGAGAUAUGGAUCGGAGAUGUUAACCGGAACGGCGACGUUUUGGACUUGACUUUUGUUUUGGUCAAUGCCGGUGUAGAGGAUCACCGGUGUGCCGUUUGGUAGAAUCGUGACGGAGCCUGACCAACAACCGUUGAUGUCUGACGGCUGAGAUGGACUGAAUGCUGGAGGCUGUGGGGUCCAGUUAACUAGAUCAAGUGACGUGGAGUGACCCCACACGAUUCUUACAUCCCAAACGGCGCCGUAUGGGUUGUACUGGUAGAAAAGAUGGUAUAUUCCCUUGUAUACCAUUGGUCCUACACAAAAGAAAACAAAUGCAUAUUUUCAAAAUAUAUUAAAAAAUAUGAAUAAAAUUUUAAUAAAGAGAACGAACCAUUAGGAUCUGGAGCAGGGAUCGAGUGGUAUCAGGUUAUCAUCGAACAUAACAGAAAAUAAAACGAUGUUAAUAGAGGAUCAAAAAGACACAUAGAUGAAUACAGGUCAGAUCAAGCUCAGUUUACAUACCGUUCAUCCAAUUACUGGGAGGUUGAAAGUGAUAACCGGUCCGGUACGGUUGGUUGAGAUCUUGGCGUGAAGCUUCAAGAUCGAUGAUAAAGCUGCAGAGCAACAAAGACAGCAGUAACAGUGUUUUCCCCAUUGUUGUUCUGUUUCUUGUUUCUCUCUCUCUCUCUCUCUCUGUCUUACUUGUGGUUGGGUUAGGUUAGGCCUAGACUGUAGAUAUUUUAGUAUCUUAUAUUAAAAAACGAUUUACAUAGCUAAUUAGAUUGUUUAUUAGAAUUUGAAAAACUCGCAUAAUGUUCGUUUUCCAGAUGAUUCAAGGGACUAAAAAUGUACAAGUUGGCACGUUAUUGCAUAUAUAAAUCCAUUAAUCAAAGACCAAACAAUUAACUAAUCUUUAAUUGAUGACAAUUGAGUCAACUAGCAGUUGUUUAUACAUAUUAUCCAAUAUAUUUAUCGGUUACAACUUUUCUAAGUUCUCUAAAGGGUAAAAAACAUAAAACAAUAUAUAUUACUACUCAAAACAUGAAUAACCCGCCAACGAAAAAUGGUGGAACAUAAUUAUUUAAUUUGAAACUUACACACAUGUAAGAACUUGAUACAUGUAGGAUUAUAAUUCAAAUAUUUGAGUGUUAUGUUAUAUAUUAGAAGACCAUAUUUAUAUUUUGUGACUCUGCAACUUGUGUAAAGAUAAUAUGCAAAAGGUUGUAUAACAGUGUUUAAUUUUUCUUAAUUAGUAUAUAAUGUAACAUUUUAUAAAUUUAUAUUUGAACACAAAAAGACAUACAACUAUAAUACUUCAAAAAAUUACAUGAAAACAAAUAAUUUUUUUCUUUAUUUGUAUGUAUACACAAAAUUAUAUAAAAAUGUUGACAAUAACUAAGAUGAAAUAAAGACAUAUAACAUAAAAAUGCAGUUUUAAUAUGAUUUUUAUAUAUCAACUCAAAACAAUAUAAUAUUUCAUCACUGAUCACUAAGAAUUUGAUAGUACUAAUAACUCGUUUUAAUUUUUAACAUUAAAUUCAUCUAUAUGUAGAAAUCCUUGUACACAAUAAUUUUCUUCUGCUUAUCUUUAUCAUAUUAACUAAUUUUUAUUUUUAUCUAUUUUAUAUUCAUUAUAUACAUAUGUAUAUUACUAGUUUCCAUCAACACAGAAUUUAGAGUCUCUAAUUCAACCUUUGGUUCUUCUUUGAGAACCAUUAAUAUGUUUAUUGUAUUUAUGAUUUUUUUUGUCAUUCUUCGAUUUUGAAAAGUAAAUACAUUAGUGGUAUAAAUGAUGACCAAGGAAUGACGAUGAAUAAUGUAUUUCCUAACAUUCAUAGAAAAAAUCACCUUUCACAAGGAAUAAUAUUUCCUUUCAUUCCCUCUCAUUUCUUUCGUAGAAAAAUAAAGAACAAAAUUAUUUCUCGUUAGAUUUGAGAAAAAAUAACCAUUCUUUUUCAUUCCUAAUAUUUUAUUCCUCUACAUUCUUUUCUUGUUCGUUCUUCUUGUUUCCAGAAUGAUCACCAGUCGGAUCCUUAUAUCAAACAAAAUAGUGUUUUUUUCUUCAUCGUCUUAUAUAUACAGAACAAUUCUAAUAAUGUAGAGAGAAAAACCCAAAUGAAACAAAGACUAGUGAAACUAUGUGAAAUUUCAAUUUUUAUUAAUAUUUAUGGUCUCUGAAUAUAUCUCAACUGAAAAAUAUAUGUUUCAUCAUUAAUCCUUUAUAAUUUUGUGCUCAUAGAACUUUUCUCAAUUUAACAUCAAAUUUAUUUAUAUGUAAAAACUUUGGCCUCCAAGAUAAUUUAUUUAAAAUAUUUUUGAUCGAGUGUAUUUUUUAAAAAGUGUUAGCCACCUUAUGAUAUUUCAAGAAAUUUAUCAAAAAUUAUUGCUAUUUUGAAAAUUUUAAAUGUAUUUAAAGGAAAUGUCAAUAAAACACUUUCUCAAACAUUAUUACAUAAAUAUACAGUUAUUAGGUGGAUGGCCCACACAUAAUAUACUUUAUUGAUUAUACAUAAGUUUAUAAAAAUUAUAGAAUUUGUAUGGCCAUUUCAUGAAUAUGUAUAAUACUUAGAGUUGUAUGUAUGUAUAAUUUAAGGUUUAGUGUAUGUUUAUAUAUGAAAUAAGACAAAUACAUAUUGGUUUAUGAAAAUAUAUUUUAAUAUAUUAUAUUAUAUAAACAUAGUAAAUAUAAUAGCAUAAAUAUGUGUAUGUUCUUUGCACAUAUAUAGUUAUUUUUUACUAAAAUUUAUAAAAUUCCAUUAAGUUAGAAACUAUUAAAGAUAUUAUAAAAUUGCUUAUAUAUUUGAAUUAGCAAUGGUUGGUACACCAUUUUCCGUUGAUGGAUAUUCACAUUUUGAGUAAUAAUAUUUAUUUUUAGGGGGAUUUUCAUGUUUACCGCUUUGUUGGUACCAUUAUUCAUGUUUACAAUCACUAAAUAGACAUUUUCAAAAAUACAUUUUAAGCCAAAUAAUUCUUAUACUCUUGUUCUCUCUAUAUAUAAAAAAUAAUACAUAAUGUAACAUUUUAUAAUUUCAAAUUCAAACUUUUUAUAAAAAAAAAUUCGAAUUUUGUUUUCAAAUUUUUUUUUUUUUGAAAAUCAAAAAUUAUUUUUCAAACUACUUUUUUCUAAAAAAAAGUUGUAUUUUUUAAGUAUUUAUUUAUAUCAUUAUUAAAAUCCUAAAUUUCACAAAAUUCCAAAAAAUCAUACAUCGUCCCUUAACUCUACACCCUAAGUUUAGAUUAGUUAACUCUAGGGUUAUAAAUGUUUUUUCCUUCUUUAAAGUUAAGGUAAAAAUGGUUAAUGUAAACAUGAAAUGUUGUAUUAUGAAUUAGGUAUUUUUGGCAAUGUUCCUUAUUUUUAUGUCUUUUACCCUUUCAAAUCUUAGAAGAGUUGAAUCAAAGAGAAAAUAUUGGAUAACAUGUGUAAAAUUAUAUGCAAACAAUAUAUUGUGCAUCAUGGUAUAACAUCAAAUAUGAUUGUUUUUGAUGCAAGGGUACACAUUUAAUUCUCAAUAUUUUGAUCCAUACAAUAAUGUACAAUUAAUUUUUUUUUUGUUCCAUUGGUCUGAAGAGAUAAGAAAGAAAAAUAAACAAAUUGAUUGAUAUUUAAAUAUCUUUACUUAACGCAAAGAACUUGGAUUGAGAUAGAAGACUGUGUUCUAAUCACGGAAGAGCUAGAUGAUUCACAGCGAAUAUCACCCUAAUAUAAUUUGGUUUAUCAUAUUGACCGCUAUAAAAAGUCAAUAUGAUAAACGAUUAACCGUUUUAGACUCAAUGUUUUUUUCAUUUUGACCGAAGUAAUAGAUUUUCAAAUACGAUCCAUAUUUUUUACAACGACAACUUGUUAUGACCAAAUAAUUCUAUUAUUAUUUUAAUACACCAAUUCUUUAAUUUUCCAUAAAUAAGCAAUGCAUUAGUUCAAUUUUUCAUUUACCAUUUUAAUAACCAACUCUAGCUGUUUCAUUUAUUUUACAUUGUAUACAAAUCUUACAUGUUAGUUGAUGAUCACACAUUUAAAAAUUGGCUGUGAUUGCAUCUCUAUCUUUUUAUUUUUUAACUCUUCUUGAUCUUUAACGAUCUUAUACGCAAUUUUGGCUACAUUUAAUAACACUGUGAUCAUUUAUUUUAUAAAAAGUCCAAUCUUGUUAUUCACAGUUGUACUUAUAAAAACUAUUAUUUAUUAUAAAUAAAUUAACAAAUCUUAAAAAAUAUUUUGAUGCUUUAUUGUCGUAUCAACAUAAAUAUUUAGAUAUUUAUUGUUAAAAAAAUAAUAUAUAAUUUUGUUGAACAUUAUCUUUCCAACAUUUAUCGAGAACCCUUGCAAAUAGCUGAGCAUUGACAAUAUCCUUUAAGCUCCUUCUCACAAACACUUUUACCAAUAGGUCCAAAUCGCUUUUUACAAUGAUAAAUACACAGUACAUCACAAGACUUGUGUGUGUCAACUCGGACAUUAUAUGUACACCUUCGUUCCUUUUUUUGCGCAUCUGCCAUCAUUCCUGUUAAAUGCAAAAAAUCUUAAAUUUUGUACGGGAGCAAAUAUAUAGAAGUUUUACUGAAAUAUAAAACUUAUUCAUCAACAAAAAUCUGCUUAAUAAACUUUUGUUUUAAGCAUUAUAAACAAAAAGACAUAGAAGUUUUGUCAGUUAAUAAAAAUGAGCAUAUGAUUUGAUCAUAAUGUCAACUUUUUAUUUUAUGAAAUUUUUUUUUAAUAAUUGUGAACAUAUGAGUAAAAAUUAAAUAUAAAUUUUUUGAUGUUUUCAGAAAAAUUACGGUAGAUAUUGGAAAAGCAUAACGUAUUAACUAUAAAAUAUAAAAAUCUAAUUCACAAUAUUUUGUAAAAUUUACAUAAGAACUCUAGUUUAUUCAUAUUAUAUGAAAAUGGUUGUUAACAUAUUUUAGAGUGAAAGGACAAUUAGGAAAUUUUCAUGUUUACCACAUUGUUGGUACUAUUAUUCAUGUUUAUCUUCAUUAAAGAGAUAUUUUCAUAAAUACUUUUUCAUUAAGAGGCAAAAGACUCUUAUACCUUUAUUUUAUAUAUAAUAAAUAAUUAUUUAAAUAGAUUAAAAAUAAGAAUAUAUAGAAUAUAUUUUUUAUAUUUUUCGAAUUAUACAUGUUCGAAGUUUCUUAUAAAAAUGCUUUUGAAUUUUUCCGAUUUUUUUCUUUCAAAUUUUCUUCUUGAAAUUUCAAAAUUCAUUUUAAACUAUUUUUAUAAAAAAUUAAAAAUAGUUAAGUAUUUAUUAAAAUCUUAGACUCCACAUUCCAAAACUUUAUCCCACCCCUCAACUCUAAACCCUAAGUCUAUAUUAGUUAAUCCUAAAUCUAAAUUAGUUAACCCUAAGGCUAUAAGUGCCUUUUUACCUCUUUAAAAGUGAGGGUAAAAGUGGUUAAAUUAAACAUGAAAAAUGGUAUUAGAAAUGUGAUAUUUUAGGCAAUUUCCCAAAGAAAAUGUAGAGAAAUAGAUGAUAAAAAAAAUGAAGAUAUCUAAAAUUGUUCUAUGAUGGUAUUUCUUCAUCAUGUAUAAAGACUAUACAUUUAAAAACUAAAAAGGACUAAAAUAGAAAAAUAACUCUUAAAAUCUUUUAGGGAUGAUCCUUUUAGGUUUAACACAAAAUAUCUUUGAGUUAGUUUCAAUAUUUCAGGCCAUCUAGGUAUUUAAGAAUUUUACACAAAAAUAUAAUUUAAUGCUAUAUUUUAUAUAGUAAACAAAAAUUAUUAUAUGGGGCUGACUAAGCAUAAAAUUUUAAGGAUAUAGUAUUCUAGUUAAAUUAUUAUAGAAGGAAUUAAUGCAAUAUAUUAAGAUGUAAAUACAAACCUAGUGAGAGAAUGAUAAACAUAGUAAAGAAGGUGAACAAGAAUUGAAGAGAUUUCCUCAUCUUGGAUUAUAGAAAUGGAUUGAUAUUGAGUUAAAAAGUUAGGAAAAAGAUGAAGUAUUCUAUUUCUCACAACAGAAGAAGAAAUAUUCUUACAUAUAUACAUAAUAAAAAUAUCUAAUUUAACCUGCUCACAUUUUUAUGUUCCGUUUUAAACGAAUCUAAUUUAGAAAUUUUUUAACUUUUUCUGGUCAUAUAAUAUGUGAAAGCUUUAGACUCGUUCUCUUUCCUAUAAAUAAAUAUAAUGAUGCGUGUCCUACUAUUGAAAUUAAUUUUGAUGUUCUAAAAAAAUUAGUGCAAUUUUGAGAAUUAUGAAUAUAUUUAAGGGAAAUGUCAAUAAAAUGCUUUGUCAAAUAUUAUUACUUAAAUAUACAGUUAUUAGGUGAAUGGUCCACAUAUAAUAUAAUUUAUAAAUUAUAUAUAAAUUUAUAAAAAAUAUAUACACUUUGUAUGGCCGUUUCAUAGAUAUGUAUAAUAUUUAGAGGUGUAUGUAUGUAUAAUUUAUUAUUUAAUGUAUGCUUAUGCAUGAAAUAAGAAAACUACCUAUUGUAUUAUGAUAAAAUUUUCUCAAUCAACCACUUCGACUGUUCGACACGUUCAAAAGAUAAAUUUUCUUGUAUAACAGUUAAUUAACUGUUUUUUUUUUUGAAAAAUUAACUGUUUUUGUUUCCCUUAUCAUAUAUUUAUUGUUUCUUUUCUUUUCUUAAUAGUUCCAGCUUCAUUGUUGUUUUAGUUUCGUUUGAGUGUGGCAAAGAUUUUUUUUAAAAGUUCAUUUUUCUUUCUUUUUUCUGAAAUCAGUUUCCAUGAUUAUGGAGGUCCAUCUAAAGUUCUAGUUUCAUUGUUUUUAGUUUCGUUUGAGUGUGGCAAAGAUUUUUUAAAAGUUCAUUUUUCUUUCUUUUUUUCUGAAGUCAGUUUCCAUGAUUAUAGGAUGAUUAUGGAGGUCCAUCUAAAUCAUCCCAAGUUUAUUCAAAAAAAAGGAAAUUUAAUUUUAUAAUUUCGUUUCAUGGUCGUUUGUUAAUAAGCGGGUUUUUAUUUUAUAUUUCCGCAUGCACAUGCAAAACAUAAGAGGGCUCUCUACGUAGUUAUGAACUUAUAAUCAAUGGUCAAAGUGAAGUUAACAUAUUCAUUUGUAACACAUUUCGAAGUGAAGUCUAGGCACGUGUAGGAAAUUUCUCUCUAAUAACCACACAAAUGAUUAUAUAUUGUCAUAUUGAUCAUACUAGCUAAAAACUUUCUCGCCGUCUUAUGUAAUAAUAUUUGAUUGUAAUUGGAAAUCUUUGUAUUCACAAAAAAAAUAUAAUUUAGCUUGUUGAAAAAUGCAUAUAUAGUUAAUUCUUUUUCAUUUGAAUUUUCUAUUUCAUUUAUCACUUAACAAAAGUUAUCAAAUUUUAUGUAACAUAUUGAUUACUGCUAAUUGCUAAAGCAUCAUAGAUUAUCAAUUCAAAAACCGACCAAAAAAUUAUAAAUUAAUUUAUAUCUCUUAUAUUUUUUUUUUUAUAAAUUCGAUUAGCUCUGAGGUGAGAUUCCUAACGAUCUCUUUAGAAUUCUACUAAUUUAUGAAAUAGUGAAUAACAAAAAACAUCCAAUCUUGUAGAUGUUUCUUUUAAAUAUAAUACAAAAAACGUAGUAAACUUCUUUCUUUUUUUUUGAUUAAAAAACUUUAGAACAACUAUUACAUAUAGUUAUUUCAAAGUAGAUAAAAACUAUUCUUUUUAGCUGGAAAGAGAAUAUUAAUCUUUAGCACAACAACAAAUGUUGCCAUGACCCCUAGGACUAGCUUGGCAUGAGCCAAUGGUCUCCGGUGGAAACUCAGGCGGUCCACAUUGACUCUUACAGUCUCUGUUGCUCUCACACGAACCUCUGUAGACACACUGUGAAGGAUGAUCAGCAUUCUCUCUUACACCUAUCAGUUCACCAACAUAUAAACAAUGAUUUCAGAAAAAAAUAGAAAGAGAAUUCGAAAUGUAUCACUCUUAAUCAUAGAUGAUAUUGUAAAUAAAAAACGUAUCACCUUUUGACUGGCAAGUAACAAGGUGAGAACAUAAGACGAAGAUGACUACAAAUUGAAGCUUUGAUAAUGCCAUUUUAUUGGUAUAACGUAAAUUUCAGUGUUCUGUUUUUUUUUUUGUCUUUGUUCUUGAUGUGAAGAAAGUAGAGAGCAAGAAUCCCUUAUAUAUUAAAGGAGAAACAUUGUAAUAAAUGUAUUCACACUAUAAUAGACACGUGGCAGCCUCACGAUAAUUUGAUAAUACAUAUGCUAAUGCGUUCACACUAUAUUCAUAAAUGUGUUCACACUAUAUACUUUAUAUUUUUAAUAUAAAACUCAUAUGCACGGUUCCAAUAAAACUUUGGAUUUUUCGUUUCGAAUCAAAACAAAUAACGAAUCAAAAUCUAAACUAUAUAUAUUAUUUUUAUUGUUUAUGGAUAAAGUCAGGCAAAACAUUUCUAAAUUUUGAUUCGAUUUGUUAUCCGUUUUGAUUUGAACAAAAAAAUAUGGAUAUCCGUAACUCUACGAAGCAAAUCAGUUACUAAAAUACAAUUAAAAAAAAUCACAAAUUCCAAUAUUUUUAGGAACGGAUAUCAAAUUUGAUAUGUUAUAUGCAUAUAUAUACAUAUAUGUACAGAUAUAUAUAUAUGUUAUAUAUAUUAUAGUUUAUAUAAGUUUACAAUAUUUUAUGAAUUAAAUUUAUUAUAAUAGGUAUUAAAGUUUAAAAAGUUAAAUAAUAUUUUAUUUUGUAAUAAAAUGUUAUUAUUAAAUUUUUCAAUUAUUUUAUAAAUUUUAUUUUAUUUACAGAUCAAAUAGGAUAUUCUUUAAAAUUCUAAAUCAUUUCGGUUAUCAGAGUCACCGACUAUCUAGGUGGCUAAAGAUUGAAUCGACUUGAAUGCCUCCAAAUACCCAGAUAUUCGAUAUGUGCACACCUCUAUUUACGGAUACAAUUGAUUUUUCUUUAUAUGGAAAAAAUUCACUAAUGUCAAGGCCUUUUUAAUUUUUAAUUAAUUUUAAUUUUAUCUUUCAUGUAUUAUUUAGAACAAAAAUGUCAUUUAAUAUAAAUUAACAAUAUCUUUAUAUAUUUGUCAUUUAUUCUUAUAUACUUUUACAUACACAUACAUAUGCACAUUGAUGUGAACACCUUAUAAGUAUUUACCACCACUGAAGUAUCUAUUUUUUUUUGGAAGUUGAAAUAUUUUUUUUCUUAAUGCUUCUUCCACUAUCGACCAAAUUGUAGUGAAAUGAUUUGUCUUAAUAGUUUUUUUUUUCUUGAACUAUUAUCCGCUUACAAACUAUGAUAUACAACUAUUAGUUCGACAUGACGAUUAUCUUAAAUUUAUAACAUGAAAAUAAACAAAUAAUAGUAAUUUUUAGUUUUUUCUAAAAAACUAAAAAAUCAAACAUUCUAACAAAACAAACCAAAAUAAAAUAUUAAUUUAAAAUAAUGGUUAUAUUUUAGGAGAUUAAAAACCAAAAAAUAACUUAAAACCGAACCGAUAUCCAGAUUAAACAAAUUUAAUGUGUUUUUAUUAAAAAUAACAAAACAAAUAAUCACAUUCCGCGCAAGGCGCGGGUUAUUACCUAGUAUGCGUAUUAAUACGAGGGAGACAGGGUAGCUGAUCAGGACAAUCUAUAUUGUUUAUUGUGUUGAGAUAUAUUGAGAUUUCUGUUUAAGUGGGUGAAAUCUUUGAAAAGGUGAUACAAAUCUUCCUUUUCAAAAGAAAAUAUUGUAUAUAUGGUCAAUUAGUAAGGAAAUUUUAUUUAAUUGAUUCGGUAUGAUAGUAACUUUUUCUUUAAAAGGAAAAUCCAUGAAAAAAUAUUUAAUUGUUCGGUACGAUCUGGUAACUUUUUCUUAAAAAUGAAAAUUAAUGGAAAAUUAUUUUAUGACAGUAGCUUUUUCUUAAAAAGGAAAAUUAAUGAUAAAAAUAAGAUAUGAUCUAAGAUUUAUUCAAUCUUACAAAAUCCAAAUUACAUAUGUUUGAGAGAUUUAAAUAUAAGAUUUGAAAUAUCGAACAUUGUUUUAAAAAAAACAAGUAACUAUACUUUGAUUCGCACACCCGCGCUGAUAUAUUUUUUCAAAAUAUAUUUGUAUUUAUUUUUCAUGUCAAUAAUAUUAGGGCAGGGUAAAAAUACCUAAAACCGAUUCCGAUCCAAAAAAGUAGUACCAAACCCGAACUGAAAUUGAUUAAAUAUCCGAAUUAUUCAAAAUUUUAGUUUUUGAAGAACCGAAACAGAAUCCGAUCCGAACCGAAAUAGUUUAGAUACCCGAAUGUAUACGAAAUAGAUUUAUAUACUUAUAUAUUAAUUAUUUUUAGAUUUAUUGUAUAUAAAAACAUCUAGAAUAUAUAUGAUACUUUUAAGUUGGUUUAAAUACUUGAAAAUAUAUACAAAUAGUCAAUAUCUAAAAUAGUAAUAGUAUACUUAAAACACCAAAAACAUUUAAAAUAAUUAUUGAUUCUCUAUCCAAAUAUUUGAACUAAAACAAUUUAUAUGUUAAGUUUAGGUAUUCUGAUAUAUGUUGUUCAACUUUAUAUUUAAUAUAUUAUUUUGUUUAUAGUUUUUGAGAAAUUUGAAGUAUAUAAUGAAUUUUAAAAAUUUUAAAGUAAUUUAAAUGGGUUAUCUGAACUCGAAUUGAACCCGCAAAAAUCCGAAGCGAACCCAAACUAAAAUUUUGAAAUAUUCGAAUGGGGCUGAAAUCUUUGACCCUGGAAACCCGAAACCCAAACGUAUCUGAACCGAACCCGAUUAGGUACCAGAUAGAUAGUUUCUCGUAAUAUAAUAGACUUCCAAUUUUUCUUAAAAAUAUAAGGUUAUUACUCUUUUUAAUAUAUUGUUAUCUAUAUUUUCAAACAAACUUACUGCAAUCAAUGUUCCCAAACAAACUUCUUUUUUAAAAUUGCAAUCCAUGUUUCUAAACAAACUUUUUUUUUAAAACUGCAAUCGAUGUUUCCAAACAAACUUUAAAAAAAAAUUGAUAUCCAUAAUCAAACAUAAUUUGUACUUGAGUUUUAAUAAGAUAGAUUAAGUAAUAAUUUGCGCUCUUCCAGAGUAAAAUAUUUUAUAAAAUACUCCAUGUGUUUCUAAAAGAUACAUAUUUAUGUGUUUUUUGCUAAUAAAUAUAUUAUUUUUUAUAUUUUCCAAUUUUCUAUAAUUCUAAGUUAGUAGUAUUUUGAAAAUUACAAUUAUUUUGUAAAUUUUACAAUUUACCAUUAUUAACUACUAAAAUUGCAUCAAAAACUUAAAAAUGGAUAUUUUGAAACAAAAUUUUAUUUUAAACACUAAUCUUCUAAGAAAAUACUUUUAAAUUUUUAAAUAAUAAGAAGAAAGAUAUGUAAAAUAUAUUUUAAUGAUUUGAUCAAAUUAAAACUGCAAAAAUAUAUAAUUAUAAUCAAUUCAAGUAUGAUACAUAUUUCUAAAAUUUCAAAAUUAACAUUUUAUGUAUUUUUUAUCUGGUAUAUAGUUUAAUCUAAAUGAUAUUAAAAUAGAUGAACUGGUUAACAAGAUCAAAUGAUCAAUGACUCAAUGUCGCACUUAAAAAGUAAACUUACUGGAAGUAAAUAGUGUUGUUUUCGUUUUAAAACCAACUUUAUACAUUUCAGUGACACACAAAGAUGUUUUUUUUAUUUUUCCUUAUCGUUCCAAACUUCCACUCUGAGUUGAAACAGAGUGGGUAAGGGAGAUAUGUUCAUCAGAGACCUGCUCUUGGGUCACCAGAAUUUGCUGCUACGACUCCAAAUUCUUGGCUGGAGGUUGCUUCUUCUUCUUCUUCUUCCGGGAACGCAACCGAGUCGCCAUUUAAGCCAUCAACAAUCUCAUCAAUCUUUUUGAACUGGUAUGGCCACUUGCUGUUGUACAGAAACUGCCUCAGAUCAAACCUGUUGUCUUCUGGAGAGUAACUCUGCAACAAAAAAUCACAAUGAGUUCUCUCUCAAGACAGAUUCCAAACAUGUUUCAGACAAACAGAAGUAGUACCUCAGCGUGGUAGGAUGGUGUAAGGACAGUCAUCUUGUGUCGAUUAAUCGAAUAAUAUUUGAAGAAGUAUUUCACUUUCUCAGCUACUUCUGCUGGGCUUAGCUUUGUUCCCCACUUGUAACAUAGAUUCUGCAGAAUCAACAGACACAAAGUCAGUUUCAGUGCAUCAUGAUUUAGUACCUUUGUCUGAAGAUCAUAACUCAAACCUUGAACAUGGAAACUGGACCACAACGGAAUAUUUUCCUCAUUCUUCCAUAGACUGAAAGCUCUUCAUAUGUCAUUCCCAUGUCGACUUCAUCAAGCUGUUUUCACAACUCAAGAUGUCUGAAUAGUGAUACUUAGUUGGCUUUAGCUAGAGACUCACAAACAGUUUUGUUAUUUACCUGAGUAUAGUCAGAACGAAUGGGCUCAAGCUCAGCUGUUGGCGGAGCAGCUUCUAUAUCUGCCAAAGAUUGAAAACCGAGAUUUGUUGCAGCCCAUCUUAAGAACAGCCUCAGAUCCUGUUUACUGAUACUUCCUAUUGGGUUUAUGUCUGCUGAGCUACAAUCAUACUGUUCCAACCAAAAGAAUGAAUUAAAUUAACAAUCUAUUGGGAACUGAGAUGUAGCGGUACUCAUCACCUUAGUCAGGUAACCACGGAGACCUUCAUCAACGUUGGAGCUGCCUAGAACAAGGUAAAAGCCUGGCUUGCUAUGAACCCAAGGCAAGAGAGACGCUAACAUAAACGCUAACACCAUUCUCAUCCGAGCUUGUAUGUUCUGCAAUCCAAGGUUCUCAGCGUUUGAUCCUCCAUCAACCUAUACACAAAACCAUUUUAAUCAUAUUUAGGUUGGUUCAGCUGUUUCUAAAUUCCUGCUUUACCUUAUAGCGAGGUCGCUUGCCUGUAACCGUUUGAAAUAAAGAUAGAACCGCAGAGACAACGCCAUCUAUACAAACAUCGAGAUGCCACGCACCGAUCUCAUCUGCCAGCUGCUUUGCACGCAUUUUUGUCUCCUUGGAACUGCACAUUUGAGAUUUAAACAUGGGGAAAAAGCUGAUGUUUGCAAAACUCCCAUUACUAUGACCAAAACUCACAUCCUCAUUCCUAAGUUUCACUGAUUUACCUGUUUUCGGACCCCAUAAAAACAGUGUAAAAUAUUCGCUUGGCAAACUCUUUGCUAUCAGUAGGAAACUCUCCAUCAGAAUAAUUCCCAAUUCUUCUCGCAUCAGUUUUCACUUGCUCAUCUCCAUUCCCAAUCUCUACACGAUCAUGAAGAUAUCAACAUCAUGGAAGUCUCUUUUUAAGUUAUUUACAGCUCAACAUACCUUUGACAACAAGUUGACACAUGCAGCCAACAAUAGCCGCCACAGACGAGCUGUCUGCUCCACCAGAAAGGGGAAGCAAAAACCCUGAAGCUCCACUUCUCCUCAGAUAGUCCCAUAGCCAGCACGCAGGACCAAAUGCUAUUUCUUCUUGUGGAGAGUGGUACAUGAUCUACACACGAACGAAUAUUUAAAACAUUCACUAAAGUUCAAAGAUUAUGGGAAGCAAGGGAGGAUUUAAAACCUUCUUCGGACUGCUUAGUGUCAUUUUCAGGUUGAAGGACUGUGUCAGCUUACAGGGCACAUAUACUGAAGAUACUUUGACCUUGCAGCUUGCCUGUUCCUGAAAACUGCUUAUAGAUCCCCGAAGACUAGCAACCUUUCUCAACCAAAGCAAGCAAAAAUUGUCUUAACAAAUUCGUCAUAUACAUAUAUAUAUAUAUAUAUAUCAUUAAAGAAAGUAACAACAGAGGAUAAGUGUAGGAUACCGCAUCUAGAUCCACUUGGGAAAUGAUGACCUCAACGUCCUUCAAUGAAAACUGUGAGCCUUGAGCUACAACAUGCCCGUUUACAACAAUGCAUGCACAUCCAUCUACACACAAGAAAAAGUAGAUAAGAAUCACUCAAAAUUGAUAAUCUCAAUCAUCCAAGGUUCUUUGAACAAACCGUAGUAUAAGCGGCCACCAUCGCAUCCCUGUUGAUUACUGUACAUAUAUACCCCACCACGAGCGUUAGUAGCUCCCAUGAAAGCGUUCAAGCGAAUAUCUAGCUUUCUUAAUUGGUGAUGACUCCCACUUGCAUUCAUAAACACCUCCACACCGUUCAACGCAAGCUCGGCAUGAGGAGGGACUGGACUAAACAGCUCCUCACAGACUUCGACCGCAACAGCUCUGAUAAGGAAAUAUAAUAGUUGAUAUUGUUUAGAAUCAUUAGAAAAAAAAUCAUUGACAGCAUUAUAUCAAAUAGACUUACGUGUCGAUAAACUGGAUGUAACCAUAACCAAAAGGGACUGAUGUCUGAGACAAGGCCUCUGAAACGUCAAUAGGGAGGUGAAACUCAUCGAGGUCUCCUCUCUGCUUCCAAGCAGUGAACCACCUCAGCUCCCUAUAGUUCCCAUCGUUUGCGAGCCACAGUUUUGGUCGGAUCAUGAUGAUUCUUCUGUUCAUACAGAGAACCUGACAGUUAUACCGCUCUGCUCCUUUGAUCACAGGCAUUCCUAUGCUACACAAGAUCCCAUCUGUCCAAUCACCAAGCAGCAACUCCUUCAAACACUCCCACCUGUAAAAGCAUGAUUCAAGAACUAGAUUCCAUCAAUCUAAUGAAGCGUACGUACGCGUGAGUGAGGGUGUCAAGCUCCAAGAAGUGAUCCUCGCAGCCAUAGCCAGUGACCUCGAGCUCGGGUCCAAGCCUGAUGACAGCACCGGCAGCCUUUGCCUGGGAAAUCGAAGCCUUGAUGUUCUUCAUGUUGCAUUCGAAUUCCAUUGCCCAUUGAUUCAAGUUACACGUGGCCACCUUCAACAGCCUCAUUCUACAGUCUACAUACAGUACAAUGUAUGAUGAGUCAGUCAUUUUUAAAAUAGUUUGAGAGACGCUGUAACUUACAAGGUGCUACUUCCUUUAAAUUCAAAACCAAUAUGAAAAAAAAAAUCAACUUAAAAAAAGAUUGUAGUAUAUAACUCACAAAUGCAUGUUAUAUCAAAGUUCAAUCAAUGUCAAAUUCAUGAACUAAGUGUGAUUCUAACCAAUUUCAAAACAAACCUAUAUGGGAACCAAUUUCAUAUAUUUGCUACGAAAUCUCCAAAAAUAAAGUACAAAAUUUCAAAAACAGAAUCGCCUAAUUAAUUUAUGAAGGCUGAGAACUAAAACAGCAGAGAGGUAGAUUGAGUUCUAAAGGAAUCUGAGGAACUUCAUACCUUUUUCUGGAAAUCGAAUAGGCCAAUGGUUCUUCUGGCUCGAGAGUAAGAUUCUUUUACUGAUCCAUGAUCGUUGGUUUCCACACACACUCACCACCAAAAUGAAAGAGGAAAGGACGAGGGAGAAGAAGAAUCUUUAGUUGGGCUUGGUCCUGAUAUUGGGCUUUUAUGAUUUGAGCCCACACUUAUUGCCAACAAUAUGACGUCGUUUCAUUCAAUCCAGGGAGUUUAUUAUAUAGUACGUUGUCGUUUUGAAAUCCUUCCUCUCUCAUUUUUUUUUCCCGACGAAGGCGAUUACUGAUCUGAGGGGAAUGGAUCAGUUAUCGGGAGGCAAUUGGUCGAUAAUCCCCUACGUUCAGGUGCAGGGUAACUUCGGUACGCCCUAAUGGUUUGCUUAUUAGCGAGUAUAACAAAUGUAUGAACUUUUCAUUUUGCGUUUGUUGUGUGAUAAUAUUAAAAAAAAAAAGCAUCAAACUUAGUUUGUAAUUUGAGUGACAUUCAAAAACCAAAAACUUUCCAAACCGGUUCUUAAACCAUUUGCAUCAGUACUGAAGGUUUAACGUAAACACGUUAAGCAUCAGUGUGUUUAAUUAUCACAUUGGAUGGUGACGAUUGCAUGAGAGAUUAAAUAUUGCAAGAACAGAAAAAUAAAAUAUUGCAUUAGAUUAAAAUGAAAAAUACUCAGAUGAGACAUAUGUUCCAAAGAGUUGGUGUAUAAUUCUAAGAGACAGAAAUGGGUCAAAAAUCAAAUAAGAAGCUUGCGAAACAAGUAACCUUUUUAUUCUUUACCAGCUAACAACGGUGGUUUUCUUUUCUUUCUUCAAAUCAGGUCAUCGACUUUUGAUGGAAGCUCCUCAACAGCAACAUUGUAGAAUUUCUGAAUAUCACUAAGCAUUCUCUCAUCAUCACGAGUCACAAAGUUAAUCGCCGUACCUUUCCUCCCAAACCUCCCACUUCUACCUAUACGGUGAAGGUAGUUCUCAGGCUGUGUUGGGAGGUCAAAGUUGAUGACAAGAGACACUUGCUGCACAUCGAUACCACGAGCCAAGAGAUCGGUUGUGAUAAGAACACGAGAAGAACCAGACCUGAACUCUCUCAUGAUAAUGUCUCUCGUGUUUUGGUCCAUGUCUCCGUGAGUGGCCGAGACCGUGUGGUCACGGCUCCUCAUUUGGUCUGUGAGCCAGUCCACCUUGCGACGUGUGUUGACGAAGAUGACACCCUGAGUGAUGUUUAAAGUAUCGUAGAGGUCACAGAGAGUUUCGAGCUUAUACUCUUCUUUCUCCACGUUCACGUAAAACUGCCUGAUACCUUCGAGCGUUAGCUCGUCACGUUUCACCAGGAUUCUCACUGGUUUGCUCAUGAACUUCUUUGUGAUCUCGAGAGCUUCUGGUGGCAUUGUAGCUGAGAACACUCCCACCUGAAUCUUUGGUGGGAGAAGCUGGAAUAUGUCAUAGAUCUGCAAAUUCACCACACAGAAAAAAAAACGUUAUAACCAAUUUGCUAGGUGGGUUCUUUAGGCGGACGCUUAGACCGAUUUUUCAGAUUUUUUUAAAAAUCGAUGAGGUUUAUUGUUUAGGCGCCUAGACAGAUUUUUUUAAAAAUCGGUUUGAAAAAAUCUUUUUGUUUAGAUCGAUUUGCCGUCUAGUUAGCCCCUAGACAAGACUUAUGGAACACUGAUUAUAACCAAGUCAAUAUCAGAGUUCAAAAAUAAAGAGGAAAGAUUCAAACCUGAUCCUUGAAACCACGGGAGAGCAUUUCAUCAGCUUCAUCAAGAACAAACAUCUUUAUACAGUCAGAGCGAAGAGAUUGUCUUCGGAGCAUGUCAAAGACACGACCAGGUGUUCCAACGACAACAUGGACACCAGCUUGGAGGAUACGCUGAUCCUCAACAACACUGGUUCCACCAACACAGGUAUGUACCUUGACGCCAAGGUAAUCUCCUAGAGCACGCAUGACCUUCUCAAUCUGCUGAGCAAGCUCUCUGGUGGGAGCCAGGACUAGAGCCUGGCACUGGACAAGGGUGAUGUCAAGCUGCUGCAAGACACCAGAGCAGAACGUAGCGGUUUUGCCAGUACCGGACUGUGCCUGCUGGAUCACAUCAAGACCGUUGCAAAACGGUACGAUUCCUCUUUGCUGAAUAGCAGAAGGCUUUUCAAAACCUAGAAAAAUCAACACAUUAGAUGAAGCUAGCACGAAACACAAAAAAAUGUUACUAUGAUGAUUCAUCUUGACAUACCAUAAGCAUAGAUACCCCUAAGAAGGUUCUCUUGCAAACCCAUGGCAUCAAAGCUCUCAUGAACCUCAUCAUAGGAGGUGAAGAACUCAUUUUGUCCCUCCAGGCUGCACCAAAUUAAAUUAACAUUAGCCAAUUGCAUCAAAAGCACAACAAGUAUUAAAAGGUAAAUAUUUUAAGACUUACACUUCAUUGAGCUUUUGAUCAAACUGACGCGUAUUAAACUGUGUACCUUCUGGUGCUGAUCCUGCCAUGACUAUAACAAACAGACCCACACACAAAAACACUACAACUUUAGAUUAUAAAAGACAACCAAAACAGCUUAAAGAUAACGUACAAACAAGUAUCUAAACUUGAGAUUCCAUAAAGAGAGGAAAACAAGCAUUAAUAUCUGAAUUAAUAUAUAGUUUAGCAAAAAAGAAAUAUGAAUUAAGAUAUUAAUGUCAAGAGAGAAGCAAAGCUAAUGGUUCAUCCAAUAUCAUAGAUACCAUGCAAAAUAAACAUAUAUCUCUCUCCAUAAAAGCAUAUAAUAAUAACACAAGCUAGGACCAAGUACAGAUAUAAACCCGCCACUAAUUGAUUCAUGUAACGAUGACCCAUGACGAAGUAUAGAUGUACAGGAACCAAUCACAGAGAGAGAAAACAAAUUGAAAAAAAAAAACAGAUGUUUCCGAACCUUGAGGUUGAGUAAGAGCAAAAGUGAAAGAUUUUCUUAAGAGUGAUUGAAAUAUUCUCUUUGUUCGGAUUUGAAACCGAAUGAGAAGAGAAAGAGCGACUUUGAGAGAAUUAGAGAGCAAUACAAUUUUCAGGUAGAUAGAGAGAACGAAAGGAUGUUAGACAACACAUUAUAUAGUCCCCUCCUCCUUUUCUUUCGAGGCGGUGGUCUUCAAGGUUUCCUCUUUGGCAUUGUUCUCCUUUCCUAUUUAGGAAUUUUCCUUCUUUUCUUUUCCCACUUUUCUUAUAUUUUGUGGGAGAAAAAUAAUUAAUAUAUCUUUAUUCAAUGUAAAUAUGAUAUGACUAUUUGAUAAUAUAUCUUAUAUUUUAUGAGAAAACAAGUAAUAUAUUUGUAUAAAUUGAACUACACCAUAUAUAACAUUAUGACAAAGUAUUAUAUUAUUAAUUGCAAAAUUAAUUAAUUUUUAUUUUAGAAAAAUAUUUAAAUUUUUGUAAUUUUUUUUUAGAUUUUUCCUUAACAGAUUUUAUUAUAAUUAAAAAAAUCAAAUUUAUAUUUAUUUUAUUAUUACAGUAAAUAAUCAAAUAUGUCAUAUUAAAUAAUUAUUUAAAUAUUAAUAGAUUUGAUAUAAUAAGUAUUUUAUCAUUCCCGUUCAUUCUUAUUUUCUAUUGUAUUCUUAUAAUUAAACACAUCUUAUAUAUUAAAAGAGAAGUCACAAUCUUGAUUCAUGUGUGAUUUUUUUUAAAAAUGGACUUAAUGGACCUAUUCCUAGAAAGUCAUGUUAUAUUUAAUAUCUAAUUUUAUCAUUUAAAUUUUGGGCCUACAAGAAAUUUUUAUUGGGCUAUCAAUAAUUAAAUUUAAACAAUAGAUGAUCUAUUGGAUUUAUAUAUAGUAUAAAUAAAAUAAAUAUAAAUAUUAUCAAAAAUUGUAUAUAAAUAUUUUCUCUAAUUUUGUAAUUAGUAAUAAAAUUAAUGUUAUUAUACAUUAAUAUAUAUAUUUUAUUAUAUAUUAAAUUUAUUAUACAAAUAAUCAGUUAUCUUUUAUAAAAUGAAAAACAUUAUAUCAAAUUUUACUAUUUUAUAGUUAUAUCUAUCAUUUUAAAAUAAAAAAUUGUAUUUAACUAAAUAUGAUAAAAUUAUUUUAAAUUGAUAAAUUAAUAUAUUUUAUUUUGACAAACAUUAAAAAUUUAUGCUAGAAAUAUAAUAUGUUGGUAGAACGGGUUAACAUUAGUAAAUUAGAUAAUUCAUGUAUAAAAUUAACUUAUCUUAAACUUUUAUAUAUAUAUAGUUAUUAUCUUAAAUGAAUAAACAUAAAAAAAUACUGAUAAAGGAAAUCUAGCGCUUUGAAUUACGGAUCAGGAUCAUAAUAAUUGAAUAAAAAAUAAUUUUAAAAUAUAUAUAAUAAAAAAUACCAAAUAUAUGUGAUGAUUUGAAAUAAUCAAUUAACUUACAGCAUGAAAACUAUCAAAUUGUUAUAUUUAAGAUAGUUAUAUAUAAACAUUUAAAUAUAUAAGUAACUUUAAAAAUAUAUUCUAAUUAUGUAAUAUAUAUAUAUAUAUAAACAUGAAAAUUAAUACCCGCACAGUUGUGCGGGUCCAAAUCUAGUUUUUAUUACAAUUGCUAUUGUUAACUAAUUAACUUUGAUGGACGGUUGAUAUUAAAGACACUUGUCAAGUAGAAAAAAAACUUUUAUAAGGAAGUAAUGUAAAACUUGAUGAGAAAGCAAUCAAAACUUGAUGACAAAGUCAUUAAAACUUGAUGAGAAAGUUUGGUCUCUCACCCCACAUAUAGUGAAAAACAAGAAAGAUAUCUUUAUGAAUUGAACUACACCACAAAGUCAAUGUUUUCAGAUUUUGUAUUAAGUAAAUUGAUUUUGGUUAAAUUAUUGACACAUGGAUCUAUUUUUUUUCAUAUUGGAGACAUUUAUGAAGUAAUAUUUUCUUCUAUAAUUUUGAUGAAAAAUAAAUUAAACAAAUGUUCAUUUUUCAUUAUUCAAUUUUAAAAAUAUUUUCUUAUCAGUUUGUUGAUUUUUUUAACAAAGUCACAAUGUUAUUUUCAAAUAGAAAUAUAUUAGUUAUAAUAUUCUUUGUUUAUUUAAAUUAAAUUAUUUCUUUUAUGAAAAAAUAAUGUAUUAAAAAUUCUCAGUAUUAACAACUUGAAUCAAAUGUAAUCAAAUAAAAACACAAUCAUGUAUUAACAAUUCUCAGUAUGACUUGCAAAAAACAUCUAUUAACAUCCAGAAACGUACUUAACAUCAAAAACUAACCAGAAAGUGACAACGUCAAUAGUAAAUGAAAUCUCAUAUACAUGUACUCUUUAUUUUUGUUCUCAAAGCCAAAAACUAUUAAAAAACCAGUCCUUUACAUCUUACAUUGAACCGGACCACAAGGUAUAAAGCUCUACAUAGCAGUUCAACAUUUUCGCCUUUUAGCACGUGCAAGGAACGAAUCAAAAAGAGAGCUGACUGAUGAACAAUUUAGGAUAGUUAAUGUGGUCGAGUAGGUGGACAUUACAUCGCUCAGAGACUUCUUUGGCAUUUUUUCUAAUCAGAAUACCUAAAGAGAGAGGGAAGAAUCUGUUAAAAAACGUAGAGAAACAAUACAUAAAGUAAAGAGAUUGUGUGUUAAAGAGUCAAAGACGUCACAACCCCAGGGGCAGUAGUAUCAUCAUCUGAAGAAGAAGGACUUGCAGGAUCAUCCAUGGUCACUGAGAAAAAAAAGUAGAAGAUUUUAUGAAGAAUACUACGCCAUGUUCACAAGAACAGAAAAUGCUUGAUCUUUCGCAUGAAUCUAAGAAAGAAAACGAUAUACCUUGUUGAAGUGAUGGAUUCUUGAAGAAUCGCACUCACUCGGAGAAGAAGAAGAAGAAGAUUGUUUCCCGCCUCUUCUAAUUUCCAACUGAGCAGGAUAUAUAACCAUUUCGAGUGGGCCAUUAAAAGCUCUUAAUGGGCCUAUAUCCAGCCCGAUAAGAAAAAUGGUCAAAUCGAAGUCAACUUUAAUCUGGACCGUACGAUGAUAAAAGCCGCUCUAUCUAUCUGUCUCUCACCCAGUCAGUGGCUCGGAUCACAAAUUCUACCUCAUUGGUAAAUCAGAAAUCUUUACCUGAGAGAGAGAAAAUAAAAACCCUAACAGUCUUCGAAAAGUUUUCAUCUUCAGCGCACAGAGAGAGAGAGAGAGAAGAGCGAAACGAAAAUCGGAUCGGGCUUAAGCAGUUCCGAUUAUGGCUUACGCGUCACGUAUCCUCAAUCACUCCAAGAAGGUAACUUCAUUUUCCCGAUCGUAUGCAACAAUUGUUCAGCGUUAUUGAUGAGAGGAUCUGAAUUGGGUGUGACGUAUUGUGUUCGAGAUUCAAUUGAAUUGUGGUUUCAUCAUCAGCUAAAUUGAAGAGCUUUUAUGAUCAACAUGAAAUCAUUUCUGCUUUUUUGAGUCAACCUGUCUUUGGGUUUGACGUAUUGUGUUUUCUGCUUUCGCAAUUGAAUUGAAUUGAAUUGUACGGGGAAUGAAUGAUGCUUUUUGGUCAGCUAAACUGAAAAGCUUUGUGAUUUUUUUAUGAGUCAUCUUGCUUCUGGGAGAUGAUUGAGAUCUGUAUUUGUAUUUUGUGACAGUUGAAAGAUGUUUCCACUUUAUUGCGGCGAGAGCAGGCUGCAUCGAUCCGCUAUUUCUCCAGCACUAAUAGGGCUCCUCUGAGCAGAGAAGGUAAUGUUAUCCAUUUUUUGGCCAGUUGUAUUUUACUUUUGUUUGGUGUCGGUAAGACUCUCUGCUUGUCGCUUCAGCAUGUUCUUUUUUUUAUUGGUCUUCAGAUGCUUUCAGUGCCCAUCUUGGCUUUUCACCUGUGGAGAGGAUGACCAAGUGUAGCACUGACAUUGUAAGUCCUUACUUUUCUUUAUAGCCGUGUGUCCCCUCUCAUUCAGCCGUGUUAACUAAGCAUAAACCUUUGGAGAUUAAUGUAAUCUUCAUGUCGUUUAAUUCUGGUUAUAGGUGUCUAUUAGUUUUGCAACUUCGAGAACAACACUAAGCAGUACCAUGGGAAGGCCAAGACUUGGAAAUCAUUUUUCAUGGUUCAGUCUCUUACUCUUACUCUCAUGUUGCAGAUGUGCAUUAGCCUUUGCUGUCUGCUUGUAUUGAUACCUUUUUGUGCUAACUACAUGCUUUCUUAUGCGUACCAGUUCGAUGCAAUCAGUUAGAGGAUUCUCAUCCGGUUCAGGUAGUCAUCUUUACUUUUGUUUUAUGCGCUUUUUCCACACUUCACUCUUGUAGUUUCCACCUUGCCCUAAGAUACAUCUUCACCUACUCAAAUUUAGCUAUGGUUGAUAUAUAUUGCAUUGCCAUUCAUCUGGUUUUACAUAUGCGAUUUUAAAUAUCAUGAUUUUUCUCCUAUGCUAAUUAUGUAACCUGAUAACGAUUUAAGGGCUUAAUCCUCCUCAGAGAGUUACGUAGUGCUUUAAAAAUUGCCGGACUUGAGAUGCUUAAUGGUAUAUACUCUAGAUUGGUUCAUUUUACCUAGAAUUUUCUGAAAAUGUGUUUCAGAUCUGCCUCCUCACCAAGAGAUUGGGAUGCCUUCUCUCUCGCCAACAAUGACUGAGGCAUGGACCUCCAUUCUACCUCUUGAUCGAAACUUAUGUCCGUUUGUCUUUAUGUUCUAAUAAGCUACCUUUCCAAUUCUCAGGGUAACAUUGCCAAGUGGUUGAAAAAGGAAGGUGAUAAAGUUGCUCCUGGUGAAGUACUCUGUGAAGUUGAAACUGUAAUGUCAAUCUAGACUGUUCUCAUCUUGUAUUCUUGUAUCUUAUAUUUAUUUGGGAAACAACUCUGACUAAGUCAUGUUCUGUAGGACAAAGCCACCGUUGAAAUGGAAUGCAUGGAAGAGGGCUUUCUCGCCAAAAUUGUUAAGGCGGAGGGGUCAAAAGAAAUCCAAGUCGGAGAGGUGUGAAACUUUUCUGGUUUCUCUAGAGUUAUGUAAUUAUCGUCGUUUCCCUUGGGACUCGGAUACAUAUUUUAGGAUCCAGACUCCAUUUGUGGAAAUGUGAACUGUAACUGUGUCAAUCUUGUGCCUUCAAGUAGGUAAUUGCUAUUACAGUCGAAGAUGAAGAGGACAUUGGAAAGUUCAAAGAUUACACCCCAUCGUCUACUGCUGAUGCCUCUCCUCCUAAAGCAGAUGCAGCUCCUCCUAAAACAGAUGCAGCUCCUCCCCCGCCAAAGGAAGAGAAGGCAUCGCCUCCGGAACCGAAGACGUCCAAGCCUAGCCCACCUCCCACCGGAGAUCGUGUUUUUGCUAGCCCUCUUGCAAGAAAGUUGGCUGAAGACAACAAUGUUAGUAUUCACAAUGUUCUUGGAUAUUUAUUUUGUUUUAGCUUUCAUGCUAGUUUAUUUUCUCAUUUCCUUUAAAAAUACAUCAGGUGUCUCUUUCAAGCAUCAAAGGCACAGGUCCUGAAGGACGGAUAGUGAAGGCAGAUAUCGAGGAUUACUUGGGUAUUAGUAACUCCUUGGAUCUUCCUUUCCCUUGCUUUUUCUUUCACACCUUUCUUGCCUCUGUUUACAUUAUUUCACCCUUCCUUUUGUCCUAAUCUAUCCUCUAAUGGUUGCAGCUUCAGGUGGUAAAGAAGCUACUGCGAAGCAAUCUAAGGUCACUGAUUCUAAGGUUCCAGCUUUGGACUAUGUUGACAUCCCUCAUUCCCAGAUACGAAAGGUAAAGCUUUUUGUUUUAAUCCUUGCACGGUUUGUAACCAAAUUUCAAGAGGAUCAAGGAUUCUGAAACCUCUUUUGACUGUAUAAAAUUGACAGGUCACAGCCUCACGUUUGGCAUUCUCCAAGCAAACUAUUCCUCACUAUUACUUAACCGUCGAUGCAUGUGUGGACAAACUUAUGGGGUAAAGAUUAAGUUUCCGAUGAUGUAUUUGAGUCGUUGUCAAUGAGUAAGCUUGACAAAGCGUUUUUUUGUAUAUGCAGUUUGAGGAGUCAGCUCAAUUCAUUCCAAGAGGCUUCUGGUGGGAAACGGAUAUCUGUCAACGAUCUUGUUGUUAAGGUACAUCUUACUUGCGUAUACUAGCAAUUAAGCUAACAGAUCUUCUGAAAUAACUAACAAUCUGCAUUUGUUUCAGGCUGCUGCGUUAGCUCUCAGAAAAGUUCCUCAAUGCAAUAGUUCAUGGACUGAUGAUUACAUCCGCCAGUAAGUACAUCGAUUGCAAACUUUUGAAUAUCUCUGGCUUGGCAAACAUCUUAACCAUUCUAUAUGUAGGUUUAAAAACGUAAACAUCAACGUCGCAGUGCAGACAGAAAAUGGGCUCUAUGUUCCUGUGGUUAAUGUGUGUCUGCAAAACAGCAUUCAAUAAUUAAUUUGUCUGCACAAAUUUCGGAUUGCUGAACUAUAUCAAUUGCUUUAUUACAGGACGCAGACAAGAAAGGUCUGUCCACAAUUGGAGAAGAAGUUCGGUUGUUGGCUCAAAAAGCAAAAGAGAACAGCUUAAAGCCGGAAGAUUAUGAGGUGAGAGAGUUCACUCACUCACUUUUGAUCAUAUCCGUUUUUCUGAAAAAAUCAGCUGAUAAUAAAGUCUUCAUUCUCAGGGAGGAACAUUUACAGUGUCUAACUUGGGAGGACCUUUUGGAAUCAAGCAGUUUUGUGCAGUGGUAAAUCCCCCUCAAGCCGCCAUUCUAGCUGUUGGAUCUGGUAAGCUCUCUCUCUCAUUACUAUCUUCACAAAUAUCCAAGAACUGAUUCGUGUUAUGUGUCUAAAUCUUAAUAAAAACAGCUGAGAAGAGAGUUGUUCCUGGUAACGGUCCAGAUGAAUAUAACUUUGCUUCUUACAUGCCUGUAACACUGAGCUGUGACCAUCGCGUAGUAGAUGGUAAGUCAGGUUUUCUACCAUCAUACAUUCAUCAUAAAACUGUUAAACUGAGUCGAAUAUUCUGCUAUCUGCAGGUGCCAUUGGAGCUGAAUGGUUGAAAGCAUUCAAAGGCUACAUCGAGAACCCUGAAUCGAUGUUGCUUUAAGAGAGAGAGAAAAAUCACACAAUGACCAGAACACGUCAAAGCUCAUAGUCAUAGGAGUCUAUGAUCUCUCAUUUCUCUGGUUUAAACACACUGUACCAAUUUAUUUUCUUUGGGUUUUUUUUGUACCAAUAAAUAUGGAGGGUUCUAAUUGAUCAUGGAGGAUGGGUAAACAACCCCAUUGUUUAUUUUGUUAAAUCGAAAUAAUAUUUUGAGUUUUAUGAAUCAAUAAAAGUUAAAACCUUCAAGAGACCGUUGAUUCUUCUUUUGUUACUCUCUGAACAUACAGCUGCCGACCAUGUCUGGCAACAACUCUGUCAUCUCCCUCCUCAGCAUGCCGGGGUAUAACCAAGCUCAAGCCAGCCAACUAUCUUACUUGCAAACUUCAAGUUUAUAGGCCUUGUUUGAAGCUCAUGAAUUGCAUCACAUUAUCAGCGAAAUAGAUCAACCUCAAUGAAGAUGCUUUACAGCUCCUUAAUUAAUCAGCUGUCCAAGAAACCUAUAUUCACAUUAGAAUCUUAAGCCAGACCAGACUCUAACUAAGAAGGUCAUGUCUGGUUAUUAUCUUCUGUGUUCAAAGUCUCUUAUCUUCUUUCUUCCUGAACCUUGAGAAACAGAGAAAAGAAAGUGGCUUUGACGGUCAGGAUUCGUAUUGCCUCUACUAAUGCUGUAUGAAUCAUCAUCAUUUCAUAAGAAUGCACCUAGGAACACAUCAUAUCCAAAGAUUGCAAAAAGUAUAAGUCUUUAUGAUCCACUAAGCCAAAUCAGUUUCAUCUUGAAAGAAAGAAAGAAAUCAAUUCUACACAUUAUGAGUUAAACACUUUGCAUUUUCUUUCCACCUAAAACACUCUCUAUAAUAAUAUUUACUCUAAUCAACAUUUUUGUUACAUGACUUAGAAAAACAAAAGAAGUUAUGUUGUUAAUGCGGAAAGUGUUAGUUAGUUAAGCAACUAUCAUUGAGUUUCUUUCUGUCUGAGAAGUUGCCUUCUCUUGAGAACCAUGAAGACAACAACCAACACCUGCAACAUUGCUAUUAACCCAACAAAGACCAGUCCCACAGUCUCCCCUUUGUUUAAUCCACCUCUCUUAUUCUUCUCCGGAGACCCCCCAACCCGCCGUGGCUCAGGAGGCGGUGGAAAAGGUUCUGACUUUGGCCUCCGCCGCCGUGGUGGCGAAGACAGAGGCGCAAUUACCUCCGAGACUGAAGAAGGUGCAGGACUGUCUGUCACAUUGUCAAGUGGAGGCGAUGGUGGUGGUGGAGGAGGUAGAGAAGAUUUUGUAAAGAGAGGCGGUUCUUGAGAUUUGACGAGGAGGAAACAAUGGAUGGUGAAAGAUAAGGCGAAAAUCAAAAUGUGAAGAGGAUUCAGAAAACACAUCUUCACGAUAUUAAAUCCAAAUGUGGCAUCAAAGGAACAACCUUUCUCUGUUUCCGAUUUGACAUAGAGAGAGAGAAGAGGGUUAAUAUUAUUUCCCGGGAAAAGACAGAGAGAAGAAUAACAGACUUGUUUCUUAGAGCUAAAUAUGGUUAGUAAGUACUAUUAACGAUUAAUAGAUAUAUAGUAAGUAAUAUGUAAUCUCCUUUUUAAGUUGAAAAUGAACCGAGCCCCUGAUUAAUGAUGAUGAUAACGAUUUAUAAUAGAGAGUAUCCAAACCUUUUUUUUUUGUUUGGUAAUCAGAAUAACAAAACUUGUAACAUCUUCUCUUUUAAUAAAAUAAUUAAAGCUAAACCCAUAUGUUGGCAAGUGGCAACACACAUAUUUAGUGAAACAAAAAAGUAUUUUAUUUUCUGAAAAUCAAAAGAGGAAUAACAGUCAAAGUACGAAAAAAAAAAUCAAUGAUAUACAUUGGACUGUUUGUUGUAUGUGGACGAGGUAGCCAUAGCCAUAGCCAUAGCCAUAGGUUGCGGGUUUUUUUUUUUUUUGGUAAAACGAUUAUACAAUAUUAUAAAACUAAUUUUGUAUUUUGAAUAUUUAUAAUAGUGUAUAAUCGUUUUAUUUUUUCGUAAUUUUAAAUAUCUAUAAAAUUAUUUCCCAUUUAUAAAGGCCAAGAUAUGUCAAAUUUACAUGACCAAGAAGUUAGAUUGGAAGUUGAAUGUGUCUUAAUUUGCCAAUUCUUUCUUUUGCAAAAGAUCUCACCUUGAAUCCUUUCCAGAUUAGAAUUAUUAUUCCUUUAUAUAUUUUCUAAGGUCAACAAUUUCUUUUUUUGCUUAAUGUUUUCUUUACAACUUUUUGGUUAAUGUUAAGAUUUCAGGUCAACUACUUACAUAUAUGUGUGUAUAUAUAUAUAUAGGCAUGUGCUGCUUUCAUUUAACAUUUAACAUCUAACAUCUAAAACUUGUAACAACAAAACCUAUACCAUUCAAAGAAUAGGAGUAUAGCUAUGUCAAAGUUUCAACUUGCUGCCCUUUUCAUCUCAUGUUUUCUCCUGUAUGCUUCUCAAUCAAAGGGUAAACCUUUUUAUUCUUCUUAUUUUCAGUCCAACACCAUUUAUCUCUUGAAUAUUUGCCACACACGUUUCCAGCACAAGUUUUUUUCUUGAUAUAAAGAACAUCAAGAAAAAUAAGCAAACAUUGUCUUCGGGUCCGAGUCUCACGAUAUUUAAAAUAAAAUGGCAAACAUUGUCUAAAAACAAUUAUGUUAUUUCGUGAAAACGUAUCAAAAUAAUAAUAUUGGUUGUUGGUUUUGCAAAUGAUAGCAUUGAACUUGAACACAAAACAAAUCGGAUAUGAAGACGAGUGUGUCUACAGAGGCUCGUGCAGGUUCAGCUACGAAUGUAAGAGUCGAUGUGGACCGCCCGAGUUCCCACAUGGAACUCUUGGUUUAUGCAUGCUCAGUCCCGAUGGUUCUGAAUAUCUUUGUUGUUGUACUCCCAAUAGUAAACAUUAGUUAUAACUUUGGUUGGGUUAUUAUUAUGGAAAAUUUAAAGGAACAUUGAAUUGAAAAACAUACUCUAUAUAAAUAAUACCUAGCAAUUUCUGAAUAUAUUGUUUCUCAAGCAUAUAAAUACUGUAAAAUAAUUUCGAAAUUUUUUAAAAGUGUUUAUUUUGAACUGUCUUUUUUUCUGUUACAUUAUCUUUGAUAACAUAUUAUGCAAUUUGUGUUGAUAGUAGAAAUCCAUAAUCCAUUGAACUAAGGCAAAUCAUACCAGUUAACUUCAAUCACACCAGAAUCCACCUCACUAUAUUGAAUGGAUCUAGUGGACAAUUAAUUCACCACUUACAUUUUAAUCUCACUAUAUUGAAGGAGAAAACUAGGGAGAAAUUAUUAACAUUCCAGAAAAAAUCUCAUAGUCAAACAACUUUAAAUAUCAUAAUUGAUGCUGGUACGAGAUAAUUAACUCACCUCAACAUUCAAAAGUUUUAAAGAUCAUAACGGAUGAAACACAGGAAUCCAUAACAUAAAUACAUAAUAAUGUCAUUCAUAAAGUGAGAAGAAGGUGAUAACUUCAGCUCAUUUACGAUUAGACACAUUCUCACCGUAUAUAAAUAAAUACUAUAAAGAGAUACACUUUUAUUCGAUCUUGUUUUGUUCAUUAAUUCAUUAAGUAAUGAGAACCAACUUUAUCAUUCUUGAACGCUAUAGAUUUUGUCUGGUCUAGCAUUCUAAUUCUAAAUUCCAUAGGCUAAUUAUGACGGUAUUAUUUCUUUAAACUACUUCUGAAUACCAUUUAAAUAUAAACGGAUCUCAGAUUCUUUUUUCAUUCUAAGAAACAACCAUUUUCAUCAUCGUUUCCUAAUUAUACUCUUAACUAUAUCAAUGUCAAGUUCAUUGCAUUAUACUCCCUCUGUUUCCUGAUUCUGAAUCUCAAACACAAACCCAAGUGCCCAACAAAAAUACAAAGACGAGAAUUGAAGAUUAGUUUUUAGAACUUUGAUGUGGUCUUUAUUUACAUGUAUGUAGAAUGAAAAAUAUCAAGUCCAUUGCUAGAUUAUGUACAGAAACUUCCAUCUGAGAGUCAUCAGAGCAUCCAGCAAGACCCUGAAACGAAAAAACUCAAACCUUCAAGCUCAUAUAUCACUUCACUCAUCAUCAAUUAUGAUAGAUGUGUAUUAGAUCUUGGUGGAUAAACUUCUACAAUUGAAGAGCCAGAAUGCUAAGUUAAAGCCGAGAGUUAACAACAUGAAAAAUGUGCUUACACGGCAUGAUAACACUUUAGACUGUAGUAAGUAGUAUACGGCCUUAGCCCCACGCCAUUGAAAAAGCAUAGUUAACCACCAGUUUACCAUCAAAGCCAAAGUUCUGCAUAUACCAAAACCACAACUACAUAACAUAAGCAAAUAGGCAUAUCAUUUCAAAGGGUGCGAAGUGAAAACACUUACAUUGUACAAAUCGUUUACAGAUUCAUCAGGGUUUGGAGAGAAAGCACUGUUCACAUAGACAAACUUAAACAAGCAAAGAAAACAGGUUACAGUAAAACUCAAAAGAUCCAUACAUACACACAUAGAAGAAGUAGAAGCUGUGUUUUAUUACCAAUGAGUCAGAAUGAAGCUGUCUUCUUAAAAAGUCAAUCACUUUAGCAAAUUUAUCAGUUCCUGGGAUCUGUUUACACGACAACGAAACUUAUCAAUCAAUAAAGAUCAUCUCUUUUCUAGAAAAAUCGAUCAAACCCCAAACCUAAAAUCCCUAAAAAUACCUUGAAUUUAGAUUGUUUGAGAAUAGGAGCGCCUCCAGUAGCUCUCAGAUGAACAACAACUGUCAUAUACACAGAAACCCUAUAAAUCAAUCAAAAUUGAAAUCAUACGAGAAAAUCAAAACUGGAAAUAGAUGAAAUUGAAUCGGUUCAAAGAUUGAUUCGGUUGUUUGAAUUUGAUUGGAUGAAUCAAAAACUCGCCUUUACGAACAGAGCUCGGUGACUCUGUCUCCGCCAUUGAUGAAUGAUUCCAAGGAGAGAGAGAGAGAGAGCUGAAGAAGGAAGACGUUACUCUUUCGUUCACGUCUGCGAUUGACGAUUAUAUUUUGGGCUUUAAAAGCCCAAUUAAACAUUGGGCUUUUAAACGAAUUAAAUAAAUUUAAACUGUAACAAACAUUGAACCGAAGUUCGGUUACUGGACCUGACCCGAUUUUAAACCACAUCGCUAAUUGGUUAUAGUCCAAUUUGCAUGAAUUUAUUUGUUUCACACUUAAAGAUCAACUUUAUCCUCGUCACUUGAUAACAAAAAUUAUUAAAAAAUAGCACAUAAGAAAAAUCUUUAAAAUAACAUUAAUUAAAGAAUAAAAUGAUUAAAUUAUUUCAAAUUCUAAGCUUUUAUUUUAACUUCGUCCUUUAAAUACUAAAAAUUAUAUAAUAAUCAUAAACUCAAAUAUAAAAUUUAUUAAAAUAAACUUUUGAUUAGUGUUAUUUUGGAAAAUUUUAUCUGAUGUGAAAUUUUGUAACAAAAAUGUUUAAUCUUAUCCUAUAAUAUUUUUUUUAGGAAAAUUCCAACUUUACCUCAAAUUUGAUUUCAUUUUUUAAAUUUACAUUUAAAUGAUAAUCAAUUUCAUAAAUUCAUCAAGUUUAUUAGAAAAACAGACAGAUUAACCCUUUUAAAUCAUUUAUGCAAGAAUUAGUUAUAGAAGUUUAUAAACCCACCACACUCCUAAAUCCUAAACCUUAAACCAUAAUCACUAAAUUUUAAAUCCAAAUGUUAGAGUGUUUUUGAUUGAUUGUAUUUUUUUAAAAUCAGUAUCCAACAUAAUUUAUGUCAAGUAACUUCUCAAAAUUUUCUUCUUUUUGGCCAACUAAAUUUUUUUUUACCUAUUUCUAAAAAAUAACUUUUGGAUUUAGUCAUUUUAACAUGGUAAAUAUUAGUCGAUAAAAAUGAUGAAAUUUUUGUGCUGCAAUUGCUGUAAAAAGCUCGACUAUUGCUAUUGCUUAGGGAUGGGUAAAAACAAAAAACAAAACAAACCAACCCAACCGAGCUAAACUAAAGUAAAUGUCGAAACUGUUUGGUUAAAAUUUUUAUCAACUCAAAUAUUUUUUUCUCGGUUUUAAACAGAACCUAAAAGUCAAAUUUAAAAAAAUUAAAUUAAAUAAAUACACUAAUAAUAUUAAGAUUUAAGAUAUUUAAUCAUUUAAAAAAUCAAGCAUAAUUUAUAUAUUUUACUUCUCAAUGAAUAGUAGAAAAAAACUAAAAACUAAAAUAAAAAUAUGAAUCUCUUACAUUAACAUCAAAACCAAAAAAUUAACUAUUAUAUUUAUCUUAGGUUUAAAAAUAAUAAUAAUAUAAAAUUAUUGAAUUACAUCUUUUAUAUUUUUAUUGAGAUUUUUUGGCUUUAUGUUUAAAUAUGAAGAAGAUAAUGAUUAAGUGUUGAUUUAUUUUAUGUUUUAAUAUUGUAACCGAAAUAGAAAAAAAUACUAAAAAAUUGACUCGAUUGAACUGAACAUAUACAAAUUAAAAAAAUGAACUAAAACCAAACUGAAUACAAACCAAAUUGUAUUAAAACUGUACUAAACCGUACAUACAACCAAACCAAACUAAUUUAGAUUGAUUUUGGUUUAAAAAAUUUAAAUCCAAAUAAACCAAAUCGAACCGAAUACAAAAUUAAACCGAAAUGUGCACCUUACUCUUACUAGCAGAGUUGUUGUCGAUUAAAUUAUCUUUGACCAUAACUAUAAUACUAUUAAAAAGAAUAGUUGAAAACAAAUAUUUGUGUGUACUUGGAACAUUAUUUUCUUUGUCUCCAUUUUACUUGUGGCCUAUGAGAAAAGACAAAUUUAAUAUUAAUUAAACAGAUAAAGAUGAAUUUGGACUGAUUUACCAAAAAGAUGAAUUUGGACUGAUUUAUCAAAAAGAUGAAUUUGGACUGAUCGACCAACAAACAACAACUAUUAUUUGUUCCUAAUUUAUCCAAAAGUUGAUGCAUAUGAUUGAUUUAACCAAUGUUUUCUCGGUAUCCUUGUAAAUGCAGCACUAAUUUGAAUUAGAGGACAUUUUGUUUUAUUUCAUACGUGGAACAAGAACCCUAAUAAAGUACACAUACGAGUACUGGCACUAAUUUAUCUCGCAACUCUCUUUUUGUCCGAUCUCAUGACUUUUACACUUGGGAAAGUUAACAAAAAAUUACAAAAAUAUUGGGAUUAAUGGAAGAAUCUUUCUACUGGAAUGUGAAACGAAGUGGUGCUGAUACGACGCUGUAUCAUCUUUCAGACAAAAGCUGCACGUCAGUGACAAUCAUCGUCUUGGGCAUCCAACAAAACAUUCUUCUUUUUACUUUGUUUUUUUCGGGUUUAGCAUAUUUCACAUUUGCCCCUUUUUCUUUUACAAAAAUAUCAUUCAACAUUUCUAUUUUUCUUUGGUAAACUCAACAUUUCUAUUUGUAAUACUGUUAUCGCAAUUAUUAAAGCAAGUUUUUGUUGUUGGUUUUUCAAAUAUAGCGUUUACAUCAAAAUAUAUUGUAACUUCAAACUGUUGAAUUACGACAAAAAAAACAUAUUUAAUUUCAUUCAUCAAAUAAAAUACUUACGGUGACAAGUAACAACUCAAUUAUAUGCAUUUUUCAAUAUUUUAUUUUAGCUUUGUUCAUAUUAUUUAUUUAUCCCAAAUGAAGAAGGAUUCCUUGAAUUUAUAUUUAAAUUAAAUAUGUCUCUAUAUAUGAGAUGAGUUUAAAAGAUGAAAUAAGUAAGACUAUCAUAAAAAUUAUUAUAAGCACAACAGAAAAUAUUAAUUAUAUCGAAAUAAAUACUUUAGAGUUUAUAAAAAAACUAAAAAACGUAUUUCGGUGAAACAUAAAGUCCAAAUAUAAUGCUAUGAAUUUAUGUUUGUUUUUAAAUUCUGAAAUUUCUUAUGGUUAAUUUUGAAACAAAAUUAACUGAGAUUUUCUCAAUAAUUAAUUUGACAUGUUAUUUCUCAAAAAUUAAUGUAGCACAUUUGUAAUCACACCUUAAAAUUUCACAGCCUAUUACUGGGGCGCACAGGUGAGGUGAAGAAGAAGAUUAUUAUAGGGAUCGAAAAAGAAGGGUUCACACGUGUGCACGCGCGACAACCAGUAGACAUAAGAGGCCACCCGUCGUGUUCGGGCAAAAGUCAUAUCCACUUGUUUUGGUCUCUGUAUGUAGCUACCUAUCCACGUUGCCCUCUUAAAUUGAAAACUCUUGCUCUGUCUCUUUCAUUUUGUUUUCUCCAGAAAUAUCAGACUUUUGUUCAUUCAGAAACCAUCGCUAUAUCAGAUGUUAUGUUCGUAAAUCGUAAUACACGCAGACCAUAUCAUUUAAGACGCAAAUUUGUUGUAUUUGAAACUGAAAAUAGCUUGACAGAAACGUAACACAUGAGUUAUUUUCCGUGUUUUUGUUCACCAUUAAUAUUGAUUGUUGAGUGUUUCAACUCUAUUGGUAUAAUAAAGAUUUCUAUUGGUAUGAUAAAGAUUUUUCCAAAAUUAUUCUACCUCAUUUAAUCUCGAAAUUGUAGGAGAAAUAAAUUACAACCAGGAUAUGUGGCAUUGUAGCAUUCUGGUAUGAAUGUGUUGAUGAUCACUUACUGUUAUGGUUGUGGCACCAAUCCAAACUCAAAGAUGCUAAUUAUAUAAGUACUUAUUCAAAAUUUAAAGGUGCUAUAACCAAUGACGCUUGUAACAAAAUUGAUAGUAUGUAGAUUUAUAAGACUCCAUAACUUUUUUGAUGAUACAAAAACAAAACAGGUAACUAUAUAUUGCUAAAACUGUUUUUUUUACUGAUAUUGUUAAAAUGUUAGAUUUAAUUAAUAUAAAUGGAAAAAAAUAAUAUAAAUGAACCAUCCGAUAAGUAGUCCAGCUCCGAAAUAGUACCGUAAUUUAGCUAUUCAAGUUUUGAGUAAUAAAAACAAAUGUUGCGUGCAACAAAAGCAAACGUAACCUACCUAUUGGAAGCAUUGUAUCUCGUCGAUCUGAAAUUUGGUAAAUCUACCUUGUCUAAUAUAUGUACAAAUUUUUAUGAGAAUCAAAAUAAUCCGCUAUAUUGUUUUUUUUUGUAAGUCUGAACAAAUCGGCAAGAUGUGUAUCAAAACCAUUUCAUCGCGAGCAUUCUGAUGGGUUAAGGACUUAAGGCACAGUAAGUGCAUGAGAAUGACGAGUCGUGUCGUGCAUGUUGCUAAAACUGUUAUUUUUACUGAUAUGUUAAAAUGUUAAAUUUAAUUAAUAUAAAUGGAAAAAAUAUAAUAUAAAUGAACCAUCCGAUAAGUAAUCGAUCCAACUCCAAAAUAGCACCGUAAUUUAGCGUACAACAAAAGCAAACGUAACCUACCUAUAUUGGAAGCUUUGUGUCUCGUCCCGAAAUUUUUAAAUCUACCUUGUCUAAUAUAUGUACAAAUGUUUAUGAGAAUCAAAAUCCUAUAUUGUUUUUUUUUAAGUCUGAAUAAAUCGGCAAGAUGUGUAUCAAAACCAUUUCAUCGCGUGCAUUCUGAUGGGUUAAGGACUUAAGGCACAGUAAGUGCAUGAGAAUGACGACUCGUGUCGUGCAUGCAUGGUUGUUCUGGGACAUGGUUUGCCCCUAGAGUCCUCUUUUAUUAAAUAUACGUAAACUUGUGGUGUAGUUUUACGUAUGAUAUGUUGCUGUCCAAUUGCUUUUAUUGAUUGAUAUGAUCACCAACUUCUUGCUUAUAACGGUCCACCUGCAAACUGUAGAACGACAUACAAAUUCUCAUCUUGAUUAUAUUUUCAACAUAUUAUAUUGUUUGGAGUGUUAGCUCUCUAAUUUUAUUGACAUAACGGAUCACAUAUUCUAUUUAAUUUGGUUAGCAUAAGCGAGAUUUUGCAUGUAUGCCACACUUAGAUAAACAUGAAUUUCAUGACCAAAAAUCUAAAUUAUACCAAAUAAAACUACUUGGGUUUGCGUUGUUAAUUACGUCACUGCAUUGGUAUAUAUGUUGAGUGAUGUCAAUCUAAUUAUAUUAGGCUGUAUUGCAUAACUUAAAGGCGCCUAUUAUAUACUGUGAAUACUACGAAUCCGAAUACUACAACUGAUUAUUUAUUUAUAGUAAUCGUUUUUGAAAAGGGCAAAUCUCCAAAAUAGCACAUUUCUAAGUUUAUAUCACAAAAAUAGCACUCAAAAACUAAAAUGACCAAAAUAGCAUUUUAUCUUUUGAAAAAUUUAAAUUUUUUUAUUUUUUAAAAUUUGAAAUCUUAUCCCCAAAACCUCAUUUCUCAACUCUAAACCCUAAAACCUAAACUCUAAACCGUUUUUUUUUUUGUCACGAAAUUCUAAACCUUAAACCCCACCCCUUGAGUGCUAUUUUUGUGACUUUUGAUCUUGAGUGCUAGUUUGGGAACAAAAACUUGAUUUAGUGCUAUUUUGGUCUUUUUCUCUUUUGAAAAUGUGCUCUUGCUAGUGUGUCUUAUGCUCCCUUUGUAUAGGAUUUUUUAGUGGCUACAGAUUAUCCCUUUUUUUCUUCUUAUUUGUUUUUAUACUUUAAGAAAGUGUACUUAUUAAAUUAAUAAUGUUUUAAAUGCUUUAUCAGUGUCUCGUAUCAUUAGGCUAUGAUUAAGCUAUUAAUAAACCUUAUUUGUUUCUAUACAUGUACGAUGAAUUCAUAUUCGGCGUCCGACUUACGUGGUAAGAACUAAGAACUAUUGCUAUAAGAUGCAUAGUACUCAUUUUGAAUUUUUAACAUACAUGGUAGAUUAGUUUUUUCAGAUAUUAUGGAAAGGAGUUUAACUUAUUAAAUUAACUUAGUUUGUUUAACUUACAUAUACAUACGAGAAUUACAUGCGUCUAAUAUAAUUGUAAUCUUCAUUAAAGUCGCACUUGGGACAAAAACAAUUCAAUUUAACUAACAAAUUGUGGUAAAAUAGAAUCAAAUUAUUGGAUACUCUUGUCCAUGACAUUUGAGACCAUGUCUCUGUCACUCUUGUCCCCUAUCUUAUUUAUCAUGAUUAAUAUUCAGUAAAAUCAACUCAAAUAAUUACUUUUCUCAUUAAUUUAUUUUAAAUUUAAAGUAGUUUCACGAAAGUAAAACAACUGAAGCAUUGGUAAGUGAAUUCCUUGGGAGAGAUUGUGAAGUGCGGUUACUAGUUACUUCCUCCAUCUUAUAAUAAAAAUAGAUUUUUGCACAUAUAUUAUGAAGAAAACUGAUAUUUUUUUUAUAUUUAUCUCUAUUUAGUAUACCGUUUUGUUUAAUUUUAUUAAUUUAUGAAUUAAAACUAAAAAUAAAAAAACUAGAAAUUUAUUUAAUACUUAUAUCGAAAAUGUAAAAUAACAUUUAUAAUAAAACAAAUUUGAAAACUUAAAAUAACAUUUAAUACGAAAUAGAGAGAAUAGUGAAUUUUUUUGGUCAACUACUGGUUAGUGAAUUUAAAUUUUGAAAAAUUAAUUAUUUUUGUUAUAGGAUACAGUAUAUUAUUAGAACAUAAAACCAUCAAACAAUUUACUAGCUAGUAAAGAAAAUUGGAUCUAAUUUUCAUUGCGUUUGACUCAUAUUCAAAGACUCCAUAAUUGAUUGGUAAUUAAACUAAAUGAGUAGAGUCGUAGUUAUUUGCUCCAAAGUGUUGAAAAUACAAACCAGUGAUAAAGUAAACCAUAAUAAAUUUUAUUUUUAUGAGUGGAUCCCAACCAGAGCCGUGCUUAGAGGCUUUUGAAAAAGGCAUUCGCCUAGGGCCCCCAAAUUUUGUAGAAAUUUUAGGGCCCCAAAUUACAAAAACAAAAAUAUUUUUUCAUGGUAGUUAACAUAUUCUAUUAGUUAGAUUUUUAUUUUUAUUUGAAUUUAAAUUUGAAUUCUAUUUAAAGUAACUAGGUUUGUAAUCAUUUUUGCUAUAUUUUAAAUAAAACUAUAAAGAUUCUACUUCUAAAAAACUGUAAAUAUUUGAUCACAUUGGUCUUUUCUUUUAUAUGCUAUGAGCUAGAUUUAUUUUAUAUAUUUAUGAAAAUUUGAUAAAGAAAAUAUAAUAUUUUCAAUAUAUAGUUUAUUAUAGUUAAUUUAAAUGCUAAGAUUUACAUUUUUGACAGCUACUAACAUUUCAUUCAAAAAUUUAUAUCCUUGUAUUUAUAUUACAAAUUCAUACUUUUUGUUCAUGAUUUAAAAAUUUUAUUUAUAAAAUUUUGGUGAAGAAAAUUUAGAAAACGUUUACGUAAUAAGUCAAAACUUUUGAGUGUUAUAUAUAUAUAUAUAUAUAUUAUUGAAAAUAUAUCAUGUAAAUUAUAUUUUUGAACUCGCCUCGGGCCUCCGAAAACCUUCGCACGGCACUGAUCCCAACAAGUGACAGUAAAUAACAUCGACCUCUAUUUGCUAUCUAAAUUAUUGACAAAGGGUAGAAAAAUCUGUGUUUCCUAUUUUCAUGCUUUUCAACUCAUCUCCAAAGAUCUAUGAUCUUCAUCUCAGGCACUUCUUGAUAUCAAAGUUCUGGCUAAUUUAGUCAUUAAUUAAUCCAAAUUAUAACUACGAGCUGAUCAACCUAAGUACUAGUAGUAAACUCAUUUUGUGGAAACACUUACAUUUAUAUAUAAUUAACCUCACUCAUGAUAAAACUGUAUUGAUCCAAAAUUAAUUAAUCCACCCCAAACCAAAGUAAGUAAUUAUUUAUAUUAGAAACUAAAACAAUUAAUUCAUCUGGAGAUAAUACGAUUCGUGGUCAAACGAGUUGUUUCGUAGACGGGAAGCUCUUCGCGAUACCUUUCGAUCCCUAUGGACGAUAGAUUAUCCAAUUCAAACAGGUCAGAGCUCGCGCAACUCGCAGCAUCAUCGUCAUCGUCGUCGUCUUCUUCUUCGACGUCUUUAUUCUCCCGGUAAGUUCUGAUAAGCUCCUUGGCGGCCUCAAUCACGCGACGAUUCUCCUCCAUAACUCGGCUUUGAUGGUGGCGAAUGGACUCUCGUUGCUUGGAGUCUUCGUCGAGGAUGACGUUGACGGGGCAGAAACGAACAGACCGUUUCGAUUUUUCGCUGGACGACGUCGUUUUGCUCAAACAAGAUCUGGAGAAGGAAGACGCUGACGAGCAAGUGGUGUGUGAUGACGUGGCGGUGGAAACGGUUUUAUUCGGUUUCUUCGUGUUUCCUGUGAAGAGAGAGUUAAGGAACGUGGCGAGGCGUCCGCCGGGAGAGAUCGGCUGCUUCACUUUCUUCAAAUCGCUGUACAUCUUCAACGCCUUCGAUUUCACUUUAUUGUUAGGUCGCUCGAGUCUCUCCACGGCGGUUCGAAUCGGCUUAGGAUGGUGAUGAAUCACCGGCGGAGAGCGAGACGAGCGAGUUCGUUUGUAGAAGGAGUCUGACUCGGAGGAGGAGAAUCCGCUCGAGUCGGAGGAGCUGGAGCUUGAGUGCUUGAAGAAAACUGGCUCGACGAUGUUUAUUUCGGCGGUUUUGCGGCGGUUAACGGCGAAAUCGGCGGCGGUUUUGCGGCGGUUAAGGAGGAUUUUCUCGAGGCAGACGCGAUUCUCGUCGAGAUAGGCGGCGCGGCUCUGUUUCUUCCUCAUGGAGACGUCGGAGGAGUCGUCGGUGGAGCGGUAGAUUUGGUCGAGGAGAGAGGAGGAGAAGGAAGGAUGGCGGUGGUCGCGGCGGUUUUGCGGCGGUUAAGGAGGAUUUUCUCGAGGCAGACGCGAUUCUCGUCGAGAGAGGCGGCGCGGCUCUGUUUCUUCCUCAUGGAGACGUCGGAGGAGUCGUCGGUGGAGCGGUAGAUUUGGUCGAGGAGAGAGGAGGAGAAGGAAGGAUGGCGGUGGUCGCGGCGGCGGUACUGGUGGUCUAUAGUGUUGUUAUCCCAAGGAUCCAUGAGAUUUUUUGAGUUUAUAUAGAGGAAGGAGGUAAUGAUAGUGUUGGAGUUUCGGGUGAAGAGCGAGAGAGAAUGAUGAAAGAGAGAGAGAGAAGAAGCACGCUUUGUUUCUUCUUCUCUCGUGAGCUGAGAGUGAGGAGGAGGAAGAAGAAGAAAGAAAGAGAGGGUCUUAUCAGCCAAAUGUUACUCACUGCCACGUGUCUUAUUAUUUUCCUAUGGGUAAACAUUGGGUAUUUACUUAGGUGGAAGUGCCAGACGGGAAUAUAGUUGUUGGCAACAAACAAUGUAUAUUACUGUAUAUUUAACUCUUUUUAUUAAUUAUUAUUUAUUUUUAUUCAUGAAUAAUUAACUUGGUAGGUCUUACUUUUAUUAGGGAAAUUGCAUUCACUAUACACAACAAAAACUAAAAUUCAUUAACUAACUAAAAACACUUUCUCUCUCUUACUUUAUUUUCAUAUCUCUCUACUCUCUCUCUCUAAAAAUCUAAUUUCCCUGAUUUUUUUGGUUAUUUAGCAAAUAAACCCUACUAGUUAACCAUGUGAGUUUUUUUUUACCUAACGUAGCUUUGUGGGGAAAUAGUUUUUUUUUUUCAAUUAAGCUUUCGAUGGGUGGUUAUCUAAUGAAUAUAAAAAAUAAACAAAAUAGUAAAGAAAUUGAAUACACAAAAGUAUGAAUUAUUUUAGCAAAUAUUCUCACUCAAAAUUGGAGAAAAUGACAUUUAUUUAUAAGUUUGUUUAUACCUUAGCAAAAAAAAAAAAAGAAUUAAACACAUGUAUCAGUAAUUUGACAAAAACUAGAUUUAGUUAUUAUAAAAAAUAUUUCAUACUGUUUUUAAAAAAAUGGUCAAGCUUUAAAAAACUAAUACUCCCUUUGAAUCAUUUUAAGAGACGUUUAAGGUUUUUGCACGAAUAUUAAAAAAAAAUACAAACUUUUAUGUGAUUAGCUUUGGUUACAUAAAAUAACAUUAAAUAAAAUUAAUUUAAAAUACAAUAUUUUAUAAUUGGUUAAAAUUUCAAAUGACAUUAAAUUUCAUAUAGAAUAUUUUUAAACACGAGUUAAACUGAUACGGAGGGAGUAGUGAAUAUACCAAAGCACUAAAAUUAAUAAAACAAAAGUAUAACUUGCAUCUUGUUUUUAGAUUCAGACAUAAGUGGAAAAACGAUUUUUUCUAAUUACUAUUUCGUAUUUUCACUAGUUCAAUUCCAUUUGUUUUCUCCUGAUUUUGUUUUUACCUGAUUCAGACCAUUCAGAAUUUCAGAUCACUCGUUACUUUUUUUCUUCUUUUUAUCAUUUACACAGCUUUACACACGAUUUCAUGAAUGUGAAAUCAAAUUGUGACACAACCAGAACACUAAUUAAUAUGUACAAGACAAUCGGUUACAAACCUUGAUCAUCGGCCAUAACUUGUAAAAACAAAAGUUGUACGUGUAUUUCAUAACACAAAAAAAUUAUAAAUCGUUGAUUUAUUACAGCAAAUCCAGUGUUGAUACUUGGGUCCAUUACAGCUUUUCUUUUCAAAAUUUAUAUAUUCGUGAAUACUAUUAUAAUUAUAUAUAUAUAUACAUAUAUGUUUUCAACUAGUCUAAUUAUAUAUUAGGUACUAUACACUAAACUGUUCUGGAAUUAGCAGUUAUUCAGUAUGAGUAAUUAGAAAAAUAUAUAACAUUACAUGUUUUAUACUAUAUACAUAGAUCUUUCUAAAAAGAAUUAAAUAUCGAAGUUGUCAUUUACAUUACUUUGAGAACUUUGGAUUUUUGAAGAAAUAUGAUCACAAAAGCUUCUGACCGUUUAACGUUCCUCAAAUAUGUGUACAUUUUUUUUUUUGCUGAAAAGGACUAGAGUCUAAAUAUAUAAGAAAGAUAAUCUAUGCUAGUACAAAAAAUUUCAAAACUUAAAACUAAAAGUACAUAUUGCUAUCUUUAGAUAUGAUUGUGUAAACAAUAAUUGUAACGCAUACACUUAAAAUGAAGGCACGGUUUGUCAAACUUCAAGAGAAAAUCUAGGGCAAAGGGACCAGAAAAGUAAACCCUAGGGAUAUACAUAGGAUUCGCUUUGUAUGUGAACGCCUUAACGGUGCGAUGUGAAUCAAAAAUGGCUAAAAGAAAGAUUAUAGAGAAUGAAUAGUCAAGCAAUGCGGCUAAAAGGCUCAGUCACAUAAUUUGACCCAACACCAACACUGAGACACUCCUCAUGAACAGAUAUUAAUUAUGUUGCAAGCCAUUACCUUGAUACUAUGGCAAUUUUAACUUUUAAAAGAGUUUAUUCACAUACUUUGAUUGUCUUCAUUGUUGAAAUCUCUAACUUGUCUUUUAUUUCCCCAAAAGUAAUUUAUUAACUUUCACUACUCGAUCAUGCUUUGAAAUCAUUCUAUGUUCCCCAAUUUGUUUCACGUUUAUCGUUUCCUUUUCAUAAGCUAAUCAAACUAAUUGUUAUUAGUGCAUCCAUCUUAGUUGAUAAUUAUUGGAUCUACCACGUUAAUUCGUACUUGAUAUAUGGAGAAGCUUAAUGACUAUCCUAAGAAAUACAAUGGCUUAUUUUUCGGACAACUCAGGAAGUCAACGUCAAUCAAACGUGUACGUACAUACAUACAUUGAUAUAUAUUUUUAAUAUUUUUAAUAUCUUGAGGCAGAAUGUUGGAGGAAGGCUAACGAAAAUGAGGAAGCAAAUGAGGAUCAGGACGAUCCGUCCACUACAGAGAUUGAGACAACAUCCCCUUGGAUACUCCGAAUCCCUACUUGUCAAAUUGAUGCAUCAUGGAUCAAUAAUGGCAGUGUCAGUGGCUUAGGGUGGAGUCUUAAGGAUCAGAUGGGAUUAGAAUACUUCGGGUUACGCGCGUGUAACAGGAACCUCUCAGCUUUGCACGCUGAGAUGGAAGGGCUACUUUGGGCAGCCUCAUGUAUGAGAGACAAAGGGAUCACUGCAGUACGGUUUGAGACGGACUGCAUGGACUUAGUGGAUAUGACUACAAACCCGAUGGACUGGCCAGCUUUCGCGACAGAGAUCGAGGUGU